Molecule: long non-coding RNA, 71095 nt
Filed under: Prunus persica (peach)
Lineage: Eukaryota; Viridiplantae; Streptophyta; Magnoliopsida; Rosales; Rosaceae
Source: RNAcentral
GGUCAUGACCAUGAAAAGAAAACAUAGUUUUGCGUUGUGGCGAAAGGGCUACAAUUGUAACUUUAGCAUUAAUUAGUGUAAAAUGCAUUUUUACAUGCCCAAAUUCUGAUCUACCAUGUCUAUGCACUUGCACUGGCCGGCUGGAUAAUGACGAUGAACCCACUAGCUAGUAGCUAGCACAUGAUUCUGUACACAUGCAUGAUAGAAAUAAAUGUUAGGAAUAUUCAAAUUCUGAGUGUAUAGCUUGGGAAUUAAGCGAGCCCUCUAUAUUCCUACUUUCUCAUCAACCCAUGCAUGUGUAUAUAAAAGACUUAUAAGAAUGCUAAUUUCACUAGAGCAAACCAAGUUUUGAGCCUGCAACUGACAAAAUGUCGGACUUUGCUGCUGUUAAUGGUUAUUCAGGUUAUAAUUAUGGUCCUCCUCCAGUCCCUAAUUAUAAUCCUGGAUACUAUAAUAAUAGCUAUCCAUUAUUAGUACAGUCUGCUCCACCUGCUCAUGCUCCAUAUCAACUGCAUGGAUACCCUAAUAAUAACUAUUAUGCUCCUCAGCCUCAGCCUCAGCCUCAGCCUCCAUCUAAUUAUGGAUACUAUUCAGCACCGCAGCCUCAGCCUCAGCCUCCAUCUUAUGGAUACCAUCCAGCACCUCAGCCUCCAUCCCCUGUUGCUCGACGUCCCAAGGCCAAGAAUGGAAGAACUGGCGGCAAACCAAGCAGCAGUGAAGUUUACACCAUCUCUAGGAAUCGAAUCAGUGGAAACAAAGGGGACCAUCAUGGAAUUUUCAAUGUUGGCAACAAGCAUGGUCGUCGUGACAUUGAUGAAGAAGAAGAAGAACAGGAAGAAAAUUGAAUGCACGAGUUUAGGAAAUAUAUAUAUUUAUAUAUGUAACUUCUUCUAUCUCUUCCUUGCCAAAAUAUAUAUGCGUUAAAUAAUAAUUAAGAGAUGAUAUACUACGUUGUCCGAGGUUGAUAGACCUCCUCAAACUUAAAAUAAGACUACUUAUCUACUGUACUUUUAACGACAAAUUCUUUAACUUGGCUGAGCAGCUUCACUUACUCCACCUGAAUUACGGGUACCGUCACACCGAAAAAUUAAUCAUCUCCCUCACUUAGUUAAUUUAUAGAUUGCUAGAACGAAAAUUAAUUUCAAUGAAUUUGAAUAUAUAAGAUCAGAAAUUUGAACGGGUGGAUGUGGCAGAGUCUUGAAACUGACUUACUCUAAACAAUCUAUUUAACAACUAUACGUACCCAAGAAUCUUGAUGUAUAAUCAAAAUCUAAAGUCACUGAACCAAUUAACAACUGCAGAGAAGUGGCGGACCUAUUAAGGCGCAAGCUCUUAUCGGAAAAACCAUUGUAGGUGCUUCAAAUUGUCCAUCUGCUCAGCUGGUGGUGAUGCACUCUAGGUGUUCGACAAAAUGACUUAGCCUUUGAACUAGGCCAAAAAGGAAAAAAAGAGAAGGAAACUGGACUGCAAUUCAUGGGCUUUCAACAACAUGCUUAGGCCUGCAUUUCGUGGGCUUUAAAAAGACUUUAAACAUGUUUUUCUUUCUUAUUUAAACAAGAAUUGCAGGAUUUUAAAAAGAAGGAAAUCAAUUCGUUUGUUAUUGCUGCGUUUUUUUUACUUCUUCACCAAAAGUAAGCUUGCUGUGCUGCCCUUUUUUUUCCUUCCUUCAUUUCUUCUUUUUUUCGUUUCUUCUUUCUUCCCCAUCACCCCACCCCAAAAACACCAAAACACCCCCCCCCCCCCCCCCCCCCCCCCCCCCCCGCUUUUUGUAAUCUGCUUCUUAUUUUAUUUUUUUUCUGAUUUGGCUCUUUUGAUCAAUAUUCAAUAGCAAAGUCAAGGAGGAAGAGGCCACGCGACACAUAACUCAAGGUAUAAUCAAUAUAAUUUUUUUAAUUGAUUCAAAUUUUUUUUAUAUAAAGCUUUUAGUCUUUUCAGAAUUGCACAUCCGCUCAAAAAUUCAUGGGUCCGCCAAACUCCAUGAUGAAAGUCGAUAGCCAAAAUUAUUAUUGUUAUGGUAAGGGGCUUAUAGCUUAAGUGGUCACAUGAAGUCAUAGGGAUGGACAAUGAGGGAUUUUGGUCCUCCAUGGAUGGAUGGUGAGGGAUUUAAUUUAAUUAAAUUUUCGAAUAACUAAUUCAUUCACUAUAUAUCUUUGAAAAUUCAACUCUUACCGUGUUAUAUAAUUUUCAAUUAAGUGGUACAUAAUUCUUCCCAUAUUAUCUGUGUACAUUCUUAUAGGGAUUAUUAUUUUUUAAAAAAGCAUUUUUUCCCAAAAAAAAAAAAAAAAAAAAAAAAAAAAAAAAAAACCCUAACAAUUAAGUUAAAAGAGGAGGUCUAGCAAAUCCACAGAAUAAGUUCAAAGAAGUAAUUUGAAUUGAAGUUACUUUUGUAAUUGACCAGCCAAUUGCCUAGAUCACUUGAUCGUUGCUGAGUCAUCAGACCCGGAUUGUUCCAACUCGUCAACUUGAUUAUUACUAUUUUUUAAUAUUAUUUUAAAUAAAUGUUUUACUCUUGUAAUUGUGUUAAAAAGAUCUAUCAUUCCUAACACACAACUUUUAGGGGUUGAAAUUUGACCGAAAUUUCUAGAAACAUUGGUGUAAUUAAGUCUAAUUAUUAUCAAGCUUUUGAGUGUUGCUAUAUAUAAAUCAAAAUUGUGUUCUUUGAAAAAUGAGAAACUUAUCUUUAGUUCCACCUAAAAAUAAAAAUAAAAUAAAUCUUUUGAAUAACGAGGAGGGAGGAGAUUGUAAUUUGCAUAUAUGUGUUUAAAAUAUAACUUACCAUUAUGGAUGCUCUUAGAAAUAUAACUCACAUACAUUUCAAUUGGGAAUAUCAUAAUAUAUAGCUUGGCAAUGAAGCUGACACUUAUAUUCGGAUUCCUCCACUGUAACCAUCUCUAUGCAUGAUGAUGUGUUUAAAGUGGACCAGGCAUGCGCUCUUCGGCUUCCAACAAACACAAUGACAUUUAGCCAUAUGUGGAAGGCGUUGUGCUGGCGCAACAACAACAACGACACUCCAGAGCCAUCUUCCAAAUACAAUCCCAACCCUCCAGCUCCUGCUGCUCCUACAAAAGCAGCCCCAUGUACCAAUCCUGCAGCACAUGAUCAUGAUCAACCAGAUGAGAGUGAUGAGGGCUUAAAGCCACCACAUGAUAGUUCCUCCUCAGGUGCUGGGGUUGAAGAUCAACCAGCUACAAGCCCCUCGGAGCCCAAGGGUGACAGAAAAAAGAAAGGGAAAAAAAAGGGGACUGCUGGGAGAUCAGACUGUGAUACUUUCGACGUUCGUGGGAAUACCAUUACCGGAUGCAAAGGCGGUAAGAUCGGAAUUUUCGACUUUGGCAACACCUAUACAUGAAUCAAUCAAGGCUGAAAGAAAAGCUGUUGAUUAUAUGAAGACGAAGAUUAAUUUAUUUGUAGAAUUAAUCAUGAGAGAUUAAUUAGUUAAUUUGGAUUUGGGUCCUCUCUGUAAUUUUGAUAAUCUUGUAAGUUGGGUUGGGUGUUUGUGGAUAUUGAUGAUCUUGUAGGGGCUGCUAGUAUUGAUAUGAAUUUUGCUUUCGGUAUUGCUGAUCACAUGUUUUACAUAGAUAGAAGAAAUAGCACUUACACAUGCGAUAAAAUAAAAUAAAAUAAAGAGUUUGCUGCUCACUUCUCUUAUUUUAAUUUUUAAGAACAGCACUUGGGGAUCGAAAGAAACCAACGGUAAUUACAUGUCAGUGUUAAGGGUAUUUGUAGUAUUAUACCCAGCGGAAGUAUCGAAAUUGAGGUUAUACUUUGGCUCUUUAGUUGGGAAGAACACCCCAAAGUGUCUCUCUGUUUCUUCACCUAGUUUGUUAUUCUCAUCAAACAUGGCAAACAAGUAAGUCUCUAUGGAUCUUUUAGGUCUCUUUGGGGUACCCUCUUUCACAUGCCGAAUCAAAUUCGAGUAAUAAGUCCUCGCAUUAUCCGUUGAUGCCCCAAACGCACCUGCCGAAGGCCACCCACUUUCCGACACAACAACCUCCAAAGAUCCUCCUCCAGCUCUCUCAACAGCAGAGUACAAAGCGUCCAGCAUUGCAUCAAACAGGUUUUGGUACCCUUUAUCACCAUCCCAUGCCAUAACUGACGGUGAAGUGAACAAAGCAUAAGGAAGAGAAAUAUCUCUAGGAUUUCCAAUAUAACUAAAAUAUGUAUAGAUGUUAGCAAGUAGUGGUGAUUUGGCAUAAACCAAGAACCCUAUAAUUGGGUCCAAAUAAGCUCUCACAUCGCCGCGAAAAGCGCCUUGUGACGGAGGGUAGGAGUUGCCUAUCAAUCCAGUCUCUAUGGCAGUUGAGACCUUGAUUUGGUCUUGAAGGCCAGCUGAUCUGAUUGCGUUGUAUAUGUUCUUCAUUGCGGGGAGGACAAAUUGAGCCAGCCUAGUAGUGUCUCCAUAAACCGGGCUCACUUCGUUUCCAACCGCAAUGUAUUUGAAUCUCACGCUUUGCCGGAAGUUCAAGACAUUUGUUUGUACCCAUGUUUGCGCUUCGGAAGGGUUGGUUGCGAGGCGUUCAAGGUCUUGGUUUGGGACACCAAGCAUGAGCUCGAUGUUGGAGCCUUGAAGAGCUUGUAGAGCGGAUUGGUUUGGAUCGUAAAUUCUCAUUUGUUUGAUGUUGUUUGAUUUGUAAAGAGAUAUAACUUCUGCGUGGGAUGGUAGAUUGUUGCCCAGCAUUCCAUAACAUACACCUACGGAUUGUACACCUGCAUAUAUAUAAAUAUACGUCCGGAAAAUUUGUUAUGUGCGUAUACGUAUACGUACAUCAAUACAUUACUUAUUUACACAUAUUAUACAUCAAGAAAAAUUUUAAUUAUAGGAUAUAUAUGCAUCUAUUAAUCAACAUUGACUAGUAUUUUUCUCUAAUAUGCCAAAGGAAAUAUAUGGCAAAUUGAAUGAGGUAUACGCUCAGACCUGUUAUACCAAGGUUCGCCACCAGGAGCCCCAAAAGAAGCAUUAUAGUAGUGGUGAAGGGAAUGGACGUAUUGCUUGUUUUAGAUGUGGCCAUGGCCAUUGAGAAACGAACAGCAGCAAGGCAAUAAUAUUCAGAUUUCGAGUUUCAGCUGGCUAAUUUGUGUUAUGUUAUCUCCAUUUGGGUUUUAUUUAUAGAUAUCAUGAUGAAGCUAGCUCUCUGUAGCUAGCUAGCUAGCCUGAAUAUAAAAUCCAUCUGCACACUUAUCCUCCUCUGAAUUUACUUUUCAAAAUGGCCCAUGGCGUCGUUUCCUUUUAUUAGUUUGUGGUACACAUUGACAUUGUCUGCUGAUAAGUCUUGGAAAGUACAAGGUUUUUCUAAGGUUUUUUUAGGUUAACCACAUGACAUAUUUAUUGACAUUGUCUCCUAAGUCUUGGAAGGUAGAAGGUUUUUCUAAGGUUUUUCUAAGGUUUUUUAGAUUAACCACAUGACAUACCUUAUUGACAUGAGAUAUGUUGGCUACGUAGGCAAAAUUAUUUUAAAAUAUUCAAUGUUAGUUAAAAUUAAAGUGAUUCUCUGUGAAAGUGAUAAUUGGCAUAUUUAAAAUCACUCCCAAACGAGUCGUCGUUUGUUUAGUGUUGAAUGUUGGUGAUUGGCAACAUGUGCGCAUGCACCUAUAAUACAGAAAACAUUACGUGACAAAACAUCUAACUAUCUUUUUAGUUAAUAGCUUUGUGCCUAUAUUAAUCAAUGCCAUUGACUUUAUCACUUUAGUUAGCGCGCGCCACCAUGAGGCGGCUAAACUUCAAGCCUUCAAGAAAAGGCCACUGAACCUCUUUCUUAGUACUAUUGAAAGACGUAUAAGUGGAAGAUGGCCUAAAAUACCUAACAAAGUUAAUUAAGUCACAGAGAGGUUCCUUGACCUAAUUGACUCGUCUUUAUCUCUUACAGUAAUUAGUGAUCAAAUUGAUAGAAAUUCUAUAGGAUAAGUAGAUAACACGACAAAUGACAAAGAAUGUCACUAUGAUUAAGGGUUGUUUAGAGUAGAUUAUGAACUUGGGCUUGGUUUUUUCAGGAUAUAACUCAAAUUUCCAUAUAUCAUGUGCUUGAGUUAAGGUUUUUUUGGGCUCAAAUAAAGAUUAAUAAAGAGUGAUUUUACCCAGACAACUCAAACUUUUAAUUUAUGUCAUUUGUUAAAAUUUACAAAAGGCUUAUAGCUCAAGUGAUUGAAAGCAUUUACUCAUACACUCGAGGUUUUGAUUCCUCAUUCUCUGAAUAUCGUUUUUAUAAAAAUAAAAAGUAAUAAAUAAAUAAAAAGGGAUAAAAAGCAGGGCUUGGUCUCUUAGUAGUGGGCUUAGUUAUUUAUAUUCUCUUGACUUGAAGGCAAAGUUUGAUCCUUUAGGCUCAGAUGGGCUUGAUCCAUUUCCAAUUUUGGCCCAAAGAACAUGAUUUCAAAAGGUCUCGCCACAGCAUGUAGCCCAACUUAAAUAAGUCGGAAAUAAAUUGCUCCCAAAUUUGUAUUGCAUUAAAUCCUUCCGGCAUUAAAGAAGAAUACUAUGAAAACACAAUAAAACACAAAUAAUACUACUCUUACUAUAUUUGUAUAUCACAUUCUCAUAUCCUUUUUUUUUUUUUGAAGACCUUUCCUAUUGAAAGGGGCGAUAACAUAUUAAACUCACACACACAACACGGAUGCUAGGAUUCGAACCCUGGACCUUGCUUGAGGGAAUAAAUACUUCAAACCACUACACUAGUGGGUUCUUUGCAUUAUCAUACCACUUUAUGUGGCAGAUGAUGUAUACAACCACAUCAAUUAAAAAGUGCCAAUAAAUCAUAAAAGAAAAGAAAAUAUUCAAUUAAUUUUAAUUGAUGUGAUUGUACACUUCAUUUGUCACAUAAGCUGGUAUAUGAAUAUAGUAAGAGUAGUACAACACCACGUAUCCUUUUUAAGACUUCUUUUUCCACCACAUACACCAAUGCAUUCAUGACUUUUGAAACAAAGUUUUGCAAUACUAAAUCAAGCAACGAGGACAAACCAAUACACCAACCUUAAAGAUAAAGGGACUGACAGCUAUUCGAACCAGGCAUGACCAAAUUUCUCCCUUAUAUGUUAUACAAGUUAUAACAACUUAGAAAAUAAUUUCAUUUUGCAAGAAUUGUUCAUCAAAUUUAUAAAAGUUUGUAGAUAGCACAAGCAUGUACCUUUAGACACUUCUGAAAGAUACAAGAAGAAGCAUAUAUGCAAUUCUCAUCAAACCAAUUUCAUUGUAGGAGAUGAUCUGAUUACUUGCUAGCUAUUAAUUGUUGUAGGUUUUGAUAACUCAUUGAUCCAUAUAUAUUAAUGUUUUGAAAAAUUGGUAUGACUAGGGAGGCCCCAACCAAAGCAAGACUUGGACUUUUAAUGGGCUUCGCUUAGAGAUGUUAUGGGAAAAGUGAAGCUUCUAAGUGACAAGUUAUUUCUAAAUUGAGAACUUCUUACAUGGUACUAGAGAGCUUAGUUCAUUUUAAUACGUUUAUUUUAAUGUAGUCAUAUUGUAAUUUCAAUACUAUUUAAGUAUAUAAUUGUGUUAUUCUAGUGGAUGUAUAAUUUCUUAUUGGUUUUAUAUGUAUUUCUUUUAAUGUUAAAGUCAUUCUUUACAGCUUUCGUUGUCAAGGAACUGCAUUUUCAUUAUUUUUUGACGGUUAAAAUAAGUCAACAAAGAGCUUACCAAUGUCAAGAAAUAGGUAAGUUGACAGUUAAAAAGCGUCAAAGAUGACCAUCGGUGUUUGCAAUAUCGUGACAGCUUUAUCUGCCAGGGAAAAUUUGUUCUUGACGGACGAAAAAGGUCAAGUAUGUGAGUACCGCUUUCCUGACACUGGCAAUUCCAACCGCGAAGCUAUUAUGAUUAAAGAGGAAAUUGAUAGGAGUGACAACGCACUGGAUUUUCCUGUUUCAAAUGCAGCUAUGCUAGGGCGACGAGGGCCUCUAUGAAUUCAAAGGUAUUACCAACUUCAACAACAGCUUUCAUGUGGACGACGCGCGCCUUGAUAAAAUCAAAGCUAAUUAAGGGAAACAUGCACUGCGAAGGCGGCAUGAGCAAUUUUUUCAACAACUGGAGAUGGCAAAAGGUCAUCAUUCAGGGCAAUCAAAUGAACGGGAACAGGGGCAAGACUGACGGAUUUAACAAAAAUUUUAACACCUACUGAAUAAUAGUCUGAAAGCAUUUAUGUCCAAAAACAAAAACUCAAAGCAUUCUGUUGGUUUAGGAUAUUUGUUCUGUUCUUACAAUAUCAUGCUUGUGUUAUGUUUGAAGCUAUGUUGAAAAAGUAAUUUUUUUUUAGUACAAGCGAGAUAGUCUAAACUAAAGGGGAGGGUGUUCUCACACACACACAAAACUAAGAUGUCAUAGGAGUUUAAACUUGAGACCUAUUGUCUACAAGUCAAACCACUUUUUCAUUGGGUUAGACUUUGUUAGCUUAAAAAUAUAUAUUUUUGAGUGUUAAAUAUCAAUGUCUUUUGAUAUUAAUUAUUAAUUGUUAAUUUUCAUAUUUAUUAAUCACCAUUUAUUAUUAAACUAUGCUUUUUGUUGUUGUUGAGAAAUGAUUAAAAAGGACCAGCUAAUUAUACUGUAAACUAUGUUUUUUAUGUCAAAUUGUUCAAAAAAUUAAAUUAUGAAGUUAUUUAAAAAGAUUAAAUGAAGAAAAGUUGUCCAUUUAUAAAAAAAAUUAGACUUAAACCAUUCUUAAAUAAUUUAAUAAAGUUGCAGACUUAAUUUUACUUAAAUGUUGAAAAGUAGGUGGCAUUCAAUUCAAAAUUGGGUUUUAUUUAAAUGUUGAAAAGUAUGUGAUUCUAACACAUAAGUAUAAAAAAAAAAAAAUUUUAAAAAAUUGUGACACAGUAAGAAGGGCCUAGUUCUUUACUUUCGCCCUGGGCUCUCAAAAACUCAAGGCCGGCCCUGAUGAAACUAUGAUUAAGUGCCUGUUUGGAUUGAUUAUUUGGGCUAAAAAGUGAUUUAUGAUAAAGUUUUUGAAGUUUACCUCGUUUGGUAAAAGAUGAGAUAAUCACUUUUGAGAGAAAAUAGAUGUCGAUAACCGUGAUUUUGGAAAGCAUCUCAAGGGCUAAUUUUAUUUCAGCUUUCACACAAAGCAAAACACGGAACUGGUGGUGUUUAAUGAAUUCUAAUGAAGUGCCUAUAAUAUCCUUGUUAACUUUCAUAAUUUACAUGAUAUAUCCCUCAUCUUCUUCCAAACCAGCACGUUCCAAUAUUCUUCAUCUUCUUCCCACAUAGACCAUCUCACAACGUUUCAAAAGUGAAAACCUCUCAGACCUUACUUUCUUAACUUCCUUAAAUCUUCCAAUAAACAUUUUGAUAAAGCAACCCAUUCCAACUCCUCCCAUUUUCAUUGACAAAGCAUUAUUGCACACAACAAAUUUAAAUCUUUGAAUAAUUUGAUAGAGCAAUAGAGGGUUUUUCAUCCCUAAACUUCAAUCAGCCAAAGAGAGGCAUAACUCUCUCUAUCUACCACGAAGUCUGGAUGCUAUAGUCAGCUAGGGUGCGGCCAUCCUGGAGCUUUUGGAGAGCAAAGAUCAACCUCUGCUAGUCUGGCAGAAUACUCUCCUUGUAUUGGAUCUUGGCUUUGACAAUGUAGACAGUGUGGGAGCUUUUUAGGGUAUUAAUUCUUAAGAUCAAGGUGGAUCUGUCUGUGGGAGGGUGGGUCAGGUGAGGCUAGGAGGGAGAGGGGUGCAUAGAGGGUUCUGUUUUAUUGUUUUAAGGUAUCUCUCAACAAAAUUAUUUAAUAAAAGAUUUGUAUAAUUGAAAGUGAGAAUGUUUUGGCAAAAAUAAAAGUGAGUUUGGUUUUUUUUUUUUUCAAUAUCACCAAACACUUAAAUAACAAAAAUAAUUUCUUCGUAUCAUUUUUAGUCAUUAUACAAAGCUCACAUCACUUUCACACACAAAAUUACCAAACACUCAGAAACUGAUUAUUGUACCGAUAUCACUUUUUACAAAAAGUUUACCAAACACCAAACUACUUUCUUUCACAGCUUAUUUAUCUCACAACAAAUCUGACAGUGAUUAUUUUCACAGCACAGCAAUGCCAAACUAGCCCUAAGAGUGGUUUAGUGUAGAUUAUGAACUUGGGCUUGGUUUUUUUUAUGAUAUAACACAAAUUUUCAUCUUUGAUGAGGCAUAAAUUAAGGGUUUUUAUGGGCUUAAAUUAAGUUUAAUAAGAGUGAUUUUACAUACACGUAAACUCAAACUUCUAAUUUAUGCCAUUUGCUAAAAGAUUGUAUGGUGAGGGUGUCAUAUAUGAACCAUAGAUGUAGACCUUCAUAUUAGCAACAUAAUUCAUCUAAAUAGUAAUUUCAUUUAAAUUUAAUAAAAUGAUCAUGUGACUAAUAUAGAAGUUCACAUAAUAGGUCCAUAUAUAACACCAUCACUAUAAAAUUUCGCACUAACUUGUAUAUUGUAGUCGACUGUCAACUAGGCUUUGUCUUCUUUUAUUUUUUAUUUUUUUUCAGGUGAGAUGGGGCCCAAAAAGGCCAGAACGAAAAGAACCAAACAACCGCUACUCUAGGCCUGGCCAGGCUGCAAACAUCAACAAGAAGGCUAUCACAAACAGAAGGAGGCGCCACCAGCUAAAACCUACGUAAGCCAGGCUUUGUCUUUGAAAAGUGGGCUUAGUUUUUAUUCAUUACCAUUUUGAGCCCAAAGAAUAUGAUUCCUCCUUUAUAACCCAUUUCACUCACGUUGGGCAAAGGUCUCACCCUAACAUUUAGCCAACUUAAAUAAUUUAUGGGAACUUCAUGGAGGAUUUCUUGAAUAAUUCGGGAAUAAUUUUCUCCCAAAUUUGUUAUGCAUUAAAUCCUUCGGGAAUUAUGGAAUAAUACUUAAUGAAAAUAUCAUAUCAUGAAGUGCAUUUUAUUUCAUAAAUAUUUGUGAAUUCCCACACAAAAAAUCUAAUAUUUGUGAAUUUGCCUUCAUCCUUCAGUAAAUAUUGUUAAUACAAAGCUACCCAAAACCAACAAACAUAUAUAUAUAUAUAUAUAAUUUAUUUAAAUUAUAUAUUUCAAAUGUUCAACAAAAAUCAUCAAUCCUGGCCAAAAAGAAAAGAAAAAAUAUUCCCUAAAAAUAAAGAAAAAGAAGCACCCAAAGGACAACCCAGAAAACUAGACGUUGUAAUAGAGAAGGCAAUAGGGCACACAGAUAAUCCUACGUGCAUGACUUGCAUUAUAAACUUUUGAAUUAUGAAUAUUUCUGUGUCAUGCAGUAACAAAGUACGAUAAAUUUUAAAAAACCGUACGUGAGUAAGUUUUCGUAACGAGAAAAAGUGAAAAAAAAGUACAUAUGGCAGGGCCAAUGGAAACCUAGGGCGACAAUACGACGUCGUCACACGUUGCACCGUAUCACGCAUGCGAAAUAUUUUAUAAUUUUUUAUUUGACCAAAGCAUCUACGGAAGUAGAGUGGGGCAUAAAGGUUAAAAACGCCUCGUUGAACCCCUUGUAUCUUCUCUCGGCUUCCCUUCGCUCUGAGAAAGAAAGAGAGACUGAGGAAAAAGCCCAACCAAAAACCCACAGAGCUAAGAGCUCCCUCCAAGAAUCUAAAAAAAUCCCCUCCUCUCGCACGUGCUGCACACACACUCUCAAAUUCCCAUCUUUUCUUUUUAAUAGAAAAAAAUUGAAUUGAUAUUUGUUCUUGGUUCCAAAUUUCUGAUAUUUGUAAACUCUCUCACCUUUGGAUCCCCACUGCUUUUCAUCAAAUCCUCCGGGCGGCGCCACACUACUCUCCUGAAACAUGUCAUCUUGAAGGUACUCAGAGAAAGAUAGUUUCUUUUUUUGAAUUUAUUUGGUGUAAUUUGGUAUUUUUGUUGCUCUCAGAAUUUAGAUAAGGGGUUCUGUUAUUGGGUAUGUUUUGGAUUUUGUGCUUUUUUUUUGCUUUCUUUGUGUAUGUGUGUGUAUUGAAUUGUAGUGCAGUGCAAAAGAAUUGAACUUUUAGGGUUUUUAUUGGUUGCCACAGAGGAAUGCAUUAUGGAUUCUGGAAUGUAAGGGUUUCAUGAGUGUAGUAUGGAGUUUUGUGUUUUCUGGGAUUGCCUAUCUGGUUAAAUGAAUUACAUGACUCAUUCAGCAGGUCAGUUCCCCCCCAGGGUAAUUUGAAUUGGUUAUUUCGAUGAGAUUUAAUUUUGGAGUAUUGAAUAGGUAUUCCAAUAACUUCAAUGCUAUCUAAUUUAGGUAUUGCAUAUAUGGUUUCGUGUGAAUGGUAAAAUGCAGUGGGACUUGUUUUGCAUUUUACCUUCUGGUUUAGUUUAGGGUUUUGGAGUUUGAGACUUAAGAAGUUUUGCUUAGCUAGAUGUUGUUCGUUGAUGCGCUAAAUCUUAGUAAGACGAAUGCAGAAUCCAUGUGUACCACUUUGUACCUUAGCCAUCUUCACUUACCUUGGUUUAAAAAUAAAAAAAUAAAAAAGGAAAAUUGCUGCUUCUUGUUAAAUACAUUGUGUUUGACAGUGAUGAUUGCAUAGUAAAUGGCUGAUCCUUUACUUGUAGGUUUUACAGGAGCUAUGGCUCUUCAAAAAUUUCCUUCUCGUGAUGCACCUUCUGUUACUAUGAAACCUUUGAGCUUUCUCAGUAAGGUGCAUGACAACAAUCGAUCAGAGGAUCUAGAGACAAGUCCUGCUAAGGAACCUGAUGUGGAUAUUGACCUCAGAGAAGUGUAUUUUCUAAUUAUGCAUUUUCUGUCAGCUGGACCAUGUCAUAGAACUUGUGUACAAUUUUGGAACGAACUUCUUGAACAUCAACUUUUACCUAGAAGAUAUCAUGCUUGGUAUUCAAGAAACGGCCUACACAGUGGGGAUGAAAAUGAUGAUGGAAAAUCAUUUCCAUUAAAUUACAACAUGUUGGUCCACAGGUAUGUAGUAUGCUUUUUUUAUAAAUCUCUCUUUACAAUAUAUAUAGGCAGUUUUUAGGCAAUCUUCUUUAUGUUUCCCUGCAACUUGUGAUGCUAAAUAUUAGGUGGCAUUAAUUGAUUACUUCUGGUAAUAAGUAAUAAUCUAUUAUUGUUGCUCUGUUGCUAACUUGCUAGGGAGUUCUGGUGUUUUGCUUUUCAGUUGUCUGGAGCAGGGGAUCUGCAUGGUGUUUGUUUUUAGUACGCCUUGUAGUAGCACAGUCUGGAAGGUUAUUCCUCAUUGUAGUAUAUGGUGUUUACGAAGUCAGAGGAAUACUUGGACCUUUGACUUUGCCACAAUGUUUAAAAUUUGAUAAAAUUAAGUAUAGUGAUAUAUAACAUAUAUGUAUAUAUAUUUGUAUAUACAGUAGUACUUUUUUUUUUCCCGCAAAUAUAAGAUCAAUCAAGUUUCUUCAUCAUAUAUUUGUUAAAUAUCAAAGUAGUACUCAAUGAUCCUUUGAUAUAAACUAAUCUAUUAUUGAGUCAUAACUAAAACUCUUGUCUUCCAUCUACUGAUGAAAGCAUUGUUUCAUUUAUUAAGUAAACUAUACAUCUGACGUGUUUAUUUAUUAUUCUUGUAUUUAAAAUUUAAAGGAGAUAACUAGUUUAAAGUACACAUCUGACUAUCCUAAAUAGAGACCUACUUCUAGCAUCCGCUUAGUGGAUAUAGUAAAUAAACAUUUUGAAAUACUCCUUUCAUUUCAUAUUAUUAUUCACUAUUUAUCUUCUUUUUUUUUUAAUCAUGUUGUUUUAACAAAAACAAUGAGAAAAUAGGCACAUUAUAAGUCAUGUUACAAUUUUGUUUUCCCCGGAGAAACAAUUCACCAACAACGCAAACAACAUGAGUUUUUUUAGCGCUGUUCAUGACUUUUGGGGAUCAUGUGAAACUAUCCAGAAAAUAAGGUCCUCUUUUCACUUCAUCUCUAUUCAAAUGGAUGCAAGUUUGGCAUCUUGGUCUUCUACCGAGGAUGUGUUGGUUUCUAUAGAUUCUAGAAGUUAGUUUCUUUUGGCGGUCCUCUUUCUAUAACCUCAAUGUAUAGGCACCCUUUUUCUUUCCCCUUAUAAAACCUAAUUGUGCCUUCUUGUUCUGUUACAUAAUUCUAUUCCAGCAUUCAUCAUGCCAGUCAUCAUAGUCUGUGAAGAAAAUAAGCAUGAUUGUAUUAUAUUUUUGUUUUUCUAUAUCAUUUUAUUGAUUCCCUUUCACUGUCGUUUAGGUAUCCUCACAUUGAAAAUGAUCACUUGGUAAAGCUUUUGAAGCAAUUGAUUUCAAGUACAGCCCCACCAUCAAGGGGUAUGUCUGGAGGAAAUGCUCCAAAUGCAGCUGAUGUACCUACUCUCUUGGGGCAGCGUUCAUUUUCACUUCUUACCUGUAGGUGACAUUUAUUUAAGCUUUGAGCUUUUAAUUCAUAUUCUUUGUGGUACCUUUUGUUGGAUGAAUUGUCUAGUAAGUGACCAAUGUUUUUCUUUUUUCUUUUUUGUUUGCAAUAUGUUUCUUAUAAUUUAUUUCAAGUUUCAAUACUGUUAUCAUGUUCAAUCAUCCAUGCAUUGGGGGUUUGAAUGUGUUUUCCCUCUCCUUUUGGAAGUUCCAUCUGCAACAUUUGCAUGUGUUUUACUGUUAUUAUCAUCAUUUUUCAUUUGAACUCCUGCAAAAGGUACAUUUUCCCAUUGUAUUUAAAAAGGAACACCUUCUCCCUUUCAGAUGAAAGGGAUCAAGUAAACAAAGAAAUGAAACGCCCUCCUGCUCACAUGCGUUGGCCUCACGCGAAAGCUCAUCAGGUUCAUGGGCUAAGCUUGAGAGAAAUUGGAGGAGGAUUCACCAGACAUCACCGUGCACCAUCUAUCCGUGCUGCAUCUUAUGCCAUUGCAAAGCCGUUGACCAUGUUUCAGAAGAUGAAAAAUACUACAAGGCUAAGGGGACAUCGAAACGCUGUUUAUUGUGGUAUGUGUUCUCAUAAAUCGGAGUUCAGAACUAUUAUCUAGGUACAUUUGGAAGUUUAGUUUACAUGUUUUUUUUGGAGUUUCUUUCUUAAGGGCACAAUUUUUUUUGUACCUCCAACAUUGGAGAGAUUUCUGUCUUGUUUAAAUUCUUAAUAUUCCGAUCUUGAACUAUUAAUGUUUCUGUCAAUUUCUGUCCACUCAUUUGGAGAGAAAAUGAGAUUUGUGCUUUGUUUACUUUUUAAUAUUCCAAAAAUAUCUUCAACUAAUGAUUGUUGCUUAAUUUCUGUCCAGACAGCCAAUAAAAAAUGAGAAAGAUAAAAAAAAACACUUCUAUAAUCUAUUCUCCUCCUCAUAUCCCUUCUCUUUGCUGGUCAUGUUCUCUUGGUGAUUCAUUUCAUUUUGGGAGUGUGCUAUUUAGCUUAUUUGAGAAACUGUGGCUCUAUUCAUCUGGUACUGUAAUAUUUUGGGAAUGCUUAAAGAUACUAAGAUACUGGCAAUAUUCAUGUCAAAGUUUUGGCUGACAUCAGUAACCUCUGUUCUUAUGUACAUAGAUUUUGGCUUGCUACAUUAUUCAGCUCUAUAUGAUUUGAUAGUUAAUUACCAGCAUAGGAUGGGAUAAUUCAUUCUCAGUGUUUUUAGAAUAGAAGGUUAUAGUCUUGAUUAUGGAUUUUCAAUCUAAGUACACAUCUUUAAAUGGUGUGAAUCCCAUUCUUGUAUGACGUUGAACUUCAGUUCUAUCUUCGUAUAGUUUCUUCUUUCUCCUUGUUCGGUUUAACUAAUAUUGAGAUCUUUUGUCUGCUGUUUCUCUCUAUCAAAUUUGUAGUGCACACCUUUAAAAUGUGGUAUAGUUCUCAUGGUGGUUUAUUUGGACAUGAAUGAUGCAGCAACAUUUGAUCGCUCAGGGAGAUAUGUUAUUACUGGUUCAGAUGAUCGCCUAGUGAAGAUCUGGUUAAUGGAAACUGCAUUUUGCUUGGCCAGCUGCCGUGGACAUGAAGUAAGUUGUUAUUGGCCCCUCAAAGAUUACUUAUCCGUUUUCCCCUUUAAUUUUACUCGUUUUAUGCUUUAAGGGAGACAUCACGGAUCUGGCUGUGAGUUCCAACAAUGUUUUAGUGGCAUCCUCCUCAAAUGACACUAUAAUUCGAGUGGUAAGGUUCAUCUGCGUCUAAAUAUAUAAGUUUUGUUCGUCUAUUUUGCAUUUUACGUUCUUUUUUUUAAACCUUUGCUGGACACUCAGUGUUAACUUACUAUAAAUUUUCAUGUUUACUAGUGGCGCUUGCCAGAUGGGCUGCCAAUAUCAGUGUUGCGAGGACAUACUGGAGCUGUUACUGCCAUUACAUUUAAUCCCAGGCCAGGCUCCAUGUACCAGCUUCUAUCGUAAGGCCAAUUCCUCUAUCAAUUUAAAUAAAUUUUCAUGUGGAGUUUCUAAUUAGCUGUAAGUAAUUUACGCUUCUGUCUGACCUUGCUGAUCCUUAUGUUGAUACUGGUUUUUCUUUGGGAGUCUAUCUAAACUAGUGAAUGCAUGGGGAAUUCAUUUUCAUAAUUUUUUUUUUUUGUAUGUCUCCCUUUCUUCCCUUUUCUCAGUUUAUCACCUUACCUAUAUGUUUGUGUUGUUCUGUCUGGAAAUGUUUUUGGGAGUGUAGAAUUUCGAAGUCUCUUAUGAUCAAUUUUUGUUCUCUUUCAUUUAUUAUUUAUUUAGGCCUUUCAAUGUAUUGUCUGGUUCAUAGGGUGCGAAGUGUCAGCAAAAGUGGAAUGUUAGUAAAUUGGACAUCAGAGAAUGUAACAUUGCUGGGUUAUUGAGAUAGGGAUCGUGGAUUUCAUUGUUCUUUGAGGAUUACUAUGCUUUUGGUUGAGGGAAAAAGGCGACAGUUUUGAAACAUUGCUUUUUAACGGGCAAUUUUUGUUUUUGUUUUGACUGACGAGGAAUUGGAGAAAUUCUUAGAAUAAAUGCAGGGUGGAGGUGGAUAUGUUGAGGGGUAAUAUCACAAGAAGGUUUCUUUGUGACAUCAGUUUCUACUGUAUAUUAGGAAAUACCUUUUUUUUUUUUUGUGCUCCAUGUAGGUUGGCUGGCUUCUGUACUAAAAGGUUCUUUUCCAUUAGCUGUGCAGCGAUGAUAGUUGUUAAAUUUAUGCAUGCAUUUUAGCUGGACUGCUUAUUCAAUAUCAUCGUAGUUUUUUGUUAAUGAAUGUGAAUAUUUUAUUAUGCUUGUGAUGUGUUUUUUGUGGACAACUAUUAUCUUAUAAAUUGUUAAGUCUUUUUCCAUGUAAUAACCUUGUGCUGUUCCCUUGUCUUUUGCAGUUCAUCUGAUGAUGGAACCUGUAGGAUAUGGGAUGCCAGGAAUUCUCAAGUGAGUCCAAGGAUAUACAUUCCAAGACCUUCAGAUGCUAUAGUUGGUCAGUUGUUUCUCUAGUGCAGCUAAAAUCAACUAACUUAUUUACUGGUGAAAGAGUACUUAGUGUGGUUGUGUAAUUGCUUGGCUGCAGGGAGAAACAGUGGUCCAUUCUCCAGCACUGUCUCACAGAGCCAUCAAAUCUUUUGUUGUGCAUUUAAUGCUAAUGGAACAUUCUUUGUCACCGGUAGCUCAGACACUCUUGCAAGGGUAUACUAAACCUCUAUGCUCCUUGUUAUUAUUUCUGCAACCUUCUGUUUAGUCGCUAUCCUCACUUUUGCAUUCAGUAAAAUGCAAAUAUUGCGCCUCUAGGAGUAAUGAAUAAACUCAUGAAUUGUAUCUGAAAAUUUUCAGUGUGGUUCAGAUAUGAAUCAGAAAUAAAGCUAUCAUCUAUAUAUUUCUACUAAUAAUAGCUAGCUGGUUGUAGGUGUGGACUGCUUCUAAGCCAGGCUCAGAUGAAUCAGACCAACCAAAUCAUGAGAUUGAUGUGUUAUCUGGCCACGAGAAUGAUGUCAAUUAUGUACAAUUUAGGUUAGAUUGUACGGUAGUUUGCCAAUGAUAUAUAUGCAUAUAUCAAUCUUUGCAUGCUGAUUUAUGUUGCUUCAUACAUUGCAGUGGUUGUGCUGUAGUAUCUAGAUUCAUGGCAGCUGACACCUCAAAGGAAGAGAACAUUCCGAAGUUUAAAAAUUCGUGGUUUGUUUUCUCUUCUUUUUGAUUGUGAUGUUAAAUAUGUCUUGAUGAGUUCGAAUGUUUUCCCCUAUCCUGGUGCCCUUUUAGCUAUCUGUUCUAUAAUUUGCCUUGGGGAAAUAAUAUCACUACCAGUAAUAUGCACAAUAAAUUUAAUUUUCCAGGUUCAAUCAUGACAAUAUAGUUACUUGUUCUCGCGAUGGCAGUGCAAUUAUCUGGAUUCCUAGAUCACGAAGAUCACAUGUAAGUUUUUGGAAAGAUAACUUGUAACUUCCUGUUCUUCUAGCCUGCCCUUUUUCUCAGAAAGUUUUUCAAAUGAAACAAUUGUAGCCACCUUCUUUCUCUUGAAUUUUUCUGCUUUAAAUAGAAAAAUCAUAUAGCUAAUUUUAUAUUCCAGGGAAAAGCUGGUCGUUGGACGCGGGCAUAUCAUCUGAAAGUUCCCCCUCCACCAAUGCCUCCUCAGCCUCCACGAGGAGGCCCUCGCCAGAGAAUUCUUCCAACUCCUCGCGGUGUUAAUAUGAUUACCUGGAGUCUUGACAAUCGCUUUGUCCUUGCUGCUAUUAUGGGUAAUUACUUUGUUGUUUCUUACUUAUUGUCUAUUUAUUAGUAUAUUACUGAUAUGCAUUAGGUAGUAUUUUUCUAAUGCCUAUACAAACUAGGAUUAAGUUGAAGGCCUUAAAUUCUUUAGUUUAAGAAAUACAUAUUCUUCUUGUGGUGCAGAUUGCAGAAUAUGUGUAUGGAAUGCAUCUGAUGGUAGCUUGGUGCAUUCACUGACAGGUCACAGUGAAUCUGUAUGUGGCUCAUUCUCUUUGUUCUUGAUUGCCCUUUUUUUUUCCUCUCUUUUCCAGUAUUUUGUUAUUUGACCUUGCAAAGAGAAGCAUGGUGAAUAGACUGAGUUCAGUAGUGUGUGUUUCCACAAGUGGAACAAAUAUAUAUCUGGUACCAUAUUAGUUUUUUUCUUUUUUUUUAACAUGACACAGAAUUGUUGUGGAUACUGUCUUUGGUGUUGGUUAGUCUUUGAUCCUAGUGCACACUGUAGUAAUUAAACCUGUUUAUUUAUUAUUGCGUUACCUACAAUGUCUUAGUGCUGCCGAACAACUGUGGCCUUUUUACAUAGGGGACUGGUUUUGCUGUUUAUUGUUUGCCCAAUAUCCUGCUUUAGUAUUCUAGUCUUCUAGCUGGUGUUCAUGAAUUGGUUACUUAUGCUAAUAUUGCCUACCUCUACCUCCAUUACACACAUGUUCAUCAAUUGGUUACUUCUGCCACUCCUCUUUUGAAGAUAUUUUUAGCUGGUUUGUUGUUUGGGUACUUUACCUAUCGAACAAGUAAAACUUAAAUAUCUGAUAUUAUUAACUUGUGUUCUUGAUAGACAUAUGUUCUGGAUGUUCAUCCUUUCAACCCCAGGAUAGCAAUGAGUGCUGGCUAUGACGGAAAAACAAUUGUCUGGGAUGUGAGUUUCCAGUUUCCUUAUCAUACUUGCAAUUUUUAUUUAUUUAUGUUCUAUGGUUUUGAAUGCUUUGUUGACUUUCAAUUACAGAUAUGGGAAGGCAUGCCUAUCCGGAUAUUUGAAACAUCACAGUUCAGAUUGGUAGACGGAAAGUUUUCACCGUAAGUGAAGAAUAAGAAAUCUUGAUUUUGGAAAUUUUAUACCCAACUUAUUGUAUUGACAUUAAAAUGUUUUCUAUUUUCUAUCUAAUUAUAAUUGAAUGGAAUCCUGUUUCAUUGGUACUCAAAUUGGCUAUAUGAUAUCUUGCUCUUGCUCAUCAGAAUAUUAUUGAAACUGCUUCCAGUUUUCUGUAGUAUUUUCUGCCUUAGCUUUCCAUAGUCCUAUGUAGCUUUCAACCUUGUGAUGCGUUGAAUCCUCACUGCCAUGCUGAUUAGUCGUUUUUGCUUCCCUAUCAUUCCUCCCCCCCCCCCCCCCCCCCCCCCCAAAAACAAUCUCUCUCUUUUCUUUCGAGCUUGUAUUUCUUGCUAUAUGCUUUUGCCUUCCUAACUAUUUUCCUGUAGUUACAAAGGGUUCUUUCUCUGUAAUAUAGGGAUGGGACAUCAAUUAUCCUCUCUGAUGAUGUUGGCCAACUAUACAUAUUGGACAGUGGCCAGGGGGAGUCGCACAAUGAUGCAAAAUAUGACCAGGUAUGGUUGUCCCCUCCUUUUUUUAAAUUUUAAAAUAAUAAUAAUAAUAAUAAUAAUAACUUAAUACUGAAUAUUUGGUUAUAAUUUUACUCAAUGAGUUGGGGGAUUUCUUUUACAAUUUUUUCCCAAGUGGUACUUAUUGCUGGUGCGCUUCUUUGGCAGUUUUUUCUUGGUGAUUAUCGCCCAAUCAUUCAUGAUAGCUUUGGAAAUGUUCUUGACCAGGUUAGUUGGCCAUUUUCACUGUUGUUCUUAAUUAGUUUUCCGUUUCUGGUUAGUUCAAGGAGAUGAAUAAACUACAUAAGCAAUAAUUCAAUGGUAGGGAGUGUUAAAUGAAUUGUGCUGCACUUUACCUCACUAGUACCAUAAUAAACUCAGGUGAACCUGUCGUGUCUGUUCCUUUUCAUGUCUUAUUGAUCCAUAGAUAAAGACCCUCAUUUAGCCGCACAGUUCCAUGCAUGACAAAGGCUCUUUGGAUUCUUUAUUUUUCUCUCUUAGUUAUGCAUUCACUCUGUGUGUGGUCUCAGUGGUGGUUUUGAUGGAUUGGUAACUGCAUGCAGAGGACUGGCUGAGAGAAAUUAGUUUAACUGUUCGGGAUAGUAGGACCAACUUUCAAAUUUCUUCUUAGAGACUUGAUAGUUUAAGUGUGCCAAAACCCAGUGCCUGUCGUUCUAUAAUAGUAUAGAUGUAUAUGCAUGAUUGACCUACCAUAACUUCAUUCCAAAUAUAUAUUUGCAAUGCUUGUUAGUUUGAAAUUAUCUGCAACAUUUGAUUCAGGAAACUCAGCUUUCAGCAUACCGGCGGAAUAUGCAGGAUCUACUUUGCGAUUCAGGUUUCUCUCUACUCCUUUUCCUGUAUGAAAUUUAUCUCUUCUGGAAAGUUUAUUUUCUCAAGCACUGGUUUAUGGUGAAAACCUAGGCAUGAUACCAUAUGAAGAACCCUACCAGAGUGCAUACCAGAAAAGGCGAUUAGGAGCUUUGGGUUCCGAGUGGCGUCCUUCCUCUCUAAGACUUGCUGUUGGGCCUGACUUCAGUGUAGAUCCGGAUUUCCAAAUGCUGCCUAUUGCAGACUUGGAUAUGUUGGCUGAGCCUAUGCCAGAGUUUGUAGAUGCCAUGGAUUGGGAACCACAAAAUGAAAUGCAAAGUGAUGAUACUGAUUCAGAGUACAAUAUUACUGAAGAUUAUUCUACUGGAGGGGAGCAAGGAAGUUUAAGUUCAAAUCCCUCUAUUGAUCCAGAGUGCAGUGAAGAAGACAGCGAGGCUGAGGAUGCUCAAAUGGAUGGACUUCGUAGGUCUAAAAGGAAAAAACAAAAGGCUGAUGUGAGUUCUCUGUCAAUAACAAAUUAUAGUUUAGUUUUGGUUAGGACCUGCUUGAAUCUGCUUUAAUGUUCUCCCUUUCUGUUUCCUCAGGUUGAAGUCAUGAGUUCUUCUGGAAGGUGUGUCAAAAGAAAGAAUUUGGAUGAGUGUGCUGGCAAUCCAUUCAGAAAUAAUAGAAUGAGGAAAUCUAGACAUGGCCGAAAAGCUUCAAGAAAGAAAUCUUCCACAUCAAAGUCAUUGAGACCUCAAAGAGCUGCUGCACUCAACGCUCUUACUCUAUUUUCUAAGAUUACUGGAAGAUCUGCAGAUGGAGAAGAUGAAGAUGGAUCAGAAGAUGAUAUGUCAGGAAGUGAAUCCACCCUGCAAGAUUCAAACAUUGAGAGUGAUGGAUCUGAUAAACAAAAUCAGCCAACCAAACAUUCAAAAGGAAAAGAGUUUUCACUGGAUGAGUCUGAGGACAUGGUUAAACCUAAUGAACGUCCUGAAUUUCCAAUAAAUGCUGGGAACAGGAGGAGAUUGGUGCUUAAAUUGCCAAGACGGGACUCAAAUAAGCUUGUGUCUAGAGAAAGCACAGUACAUAAUUGUGGUAAUCAGGAUGAUUUGGUUCACCAAUCAUGUAGAGUACCUCAAGAAGCAACUGAAGCAAACAACAAUAUAAGCUCUCAGGAUCCAGGGUCCUCACCUGGUGAUGAAAAAUGCAGCAUAUUUGGAACAGCAGUGGGUGGGCAAUUAUACAAAGUAGAAAAUCAUGUAGAUUUGACUGAGAAUUACAAAAAUGGGAGAAUUAGUUGGGGAGGCUCCAGAGUGCGAACAUCUAAGCGUCUGAGGUCAGGAGAAUCCAUGUCAUUGGAUGCACUUGCCAGAGCCAGUGCAACCGUCGUUGGUAACGAAAAAGAGUACUCAAAACCUGAAAAUGAUUUUGGAACCAUGUCACCUCAAUCAGAAAGCCAAAUGUAUGGAGAUACAAUGGCUGUAGGGAAUGAGGAAACCAUUGGAGCUAGUACCUCUGAGGGCCUUAAUGGUGAAACCAAUGCCAAAGAGCAAUCAGGUUUUAGUGAAUGCAAGGAUCAUGAUCAAUCGCCUAAAUCUGUUCACAUGGCUCCUUGGGAUGCAAGCACUUCCUCAUGCCUUGAUAAGGACAGGACUAUUUUCUCUCCUGAACAAAAUGAGAAGCUCACAACUGUCUCAACAAAAUUGAGGUUGAGGAGGAUUUCAAGGGAUCCUAGUCCUUGCAAACAGGAAAUGUUCUCUGUGGUAGAGAACUUGGAAAAUGGUAGAUGUAACACAUUACAUGAAAGCCUUUCAAGCAUGGAACAGGAUCCAGUUGUGCCGGAGGAUGAUGGAACCCCUAAAUUUAUUCCAGAUGAUAGAUACAAUGGCUCGCGAGAAUCAGACAAUCAAUCUGAUAAGAAUGUCAUUUCUGGUAUACAUGAAUCAGUCGAGUCCCAUUUAAAUAAAAACAAAAUGUUCAGUGCUGUUUAUAGAAGGGUGAAACCACAUAGGGGUAGAAUUAAUUUAGAAGGUGAUAGUGGCAUCAAGGAAGAAGGCUGUUUAUAUACUUCAAAUACAAGCAACCACAAUCUCAUUGCUGGAGUGGACUUUAAUGAUGACUCAGUUGAUGGAGGUCGCAGGACACGGUCCAUGGGGUUGAAGGCAUCUGCACAUGAUCCAAGUAGUGUAGAUCAUGAUGAUAAGAUGGGCCAAGGACAUGAGCCAGGUUAUACAUUUAGAAGUAACCAGAAAAGUUCCAUGGACAAGUUUCAACUUCGGAAUGAAGAACAAGGAUCAAGUUCAAGGACAACAGUCGGAUUGAGGUCUACUAGAAACAGAAGAAGCAGUUACCGUGACAUGAAUCCAAUGGAUAGAAGGAAGUCGCAUCAGUCAGCAAGGAAAGUAUCAUGGUUAAUGUUGUCAACACAUGAGGAAAGCUCACGAUAUAUUCCCCAGUUAGGGGAUGAAGUUGUUUAUUUGAGACAGGUUUCUUUAUAAAUUGCUGCUGGUCUUUUUCCCAUUUUAUUUUUCCUUUUCAGGGGGUGGGUAGGUUGGUUUUGACAUGAGAUUGUGCCUCGGUGCAAACCUAUGGCUUACACUAAUCGACCUACACAAGUCGCAUAAACAGCAUCUCUGGAAACAGGGAUAUAGCUGUGUAUGCUUUACCGUCCCAGGGCCCUACAUUAGCCAGAGCUUGUACUGGAGUGCCCUUUUUUGUUUUGGUUUUGGUUGUCAUGUGAAUGUUGAUUAUAUCGCAUAGCUUGGUAAACUCCUUUUUUUCUUUUUCCUUUCUUACCAGGGGCAUCAGGAGUAUUUCGAACUUGGUGGAUUGAGAGAAAACCCACCGUGGACAUUUAUAAAGGGGAGAAUAAGAGCUGUAGAAUUUUGCAAAGUUGAAGACCUGGAGUAUUCUUCACUUGCAGGGUCUGGGGAUAGCUGCUGCAAAUUGACACUUCAAUUUGUAGAUCCUACUUCUGAUGUGUAUGGUAAAUAUUUCAAAAUGACUCUGCCUGAAGUUACUGGUUUCCCAGACUUCAUUGUCGAAAGAACUCGCUAUGUCUCUUCUAUAGAGAGAAAUUGGGCAUGUAGGGAUCAUUGCAAAGUCUGGUGGAAAAAUGAGGGUGAGGAUGAUGGUAAGUGGUGGGAGGGGAGGAUUAAGCUGAAACAGUCUAAAUCUACCAACUUCCCCGACAGUCCAUGGGAGAUGUAUACUGUUCAGUACAAGUGUGACCCUAGUGAUGCACAGCUACAUAGUCCUUGGGAGCUUUUUGACUCCAAUACUCAAUGGGAGGAGCCUCGCAUUGAUGAUAAGAGCAAAAUGAAGCUGCUUUCUGCCUUUGCCAAACUAGAGCGAUCUGCUGAUAGUCGCCAGGUAUUAAGGAGAAAAAAACACCCUUUACUUUUUAUAGUUAGAAAAUUAAUUUUGUUAAAUGCUGCAUUUGGCUAACUUUUUGAAGACUUACUAGGAUUUUUCUCAAUUUCGUUGUGUACAAUUCAGGAUUCUUUUGGGGUUGAUAAACUGAAGCAACUUCAACUGAAGCCAAAGUUUACAAACUGGUAUAUCUUCGUUAUAUUAUAGCAUUCCCGUUAUGUUGCGUUCGAUUUCAAUGUCAUGCAUGCUAACACUUGCGUGUCUGUUGUACCGGCCGUGAUGGAAUUUCUCUCUCAAGUGCUAUCUGAGAUUUUGAAAUGUGGUUUUGUGUUUUGGAACUUUCUCAGGUGUGCGGUUCCAAUAUCUCUUGAAGUGAUCCAGUCUAGGUUAGAGAACAACUACUAUCGAAAUUUGGAAGCACUAAAGCAUGACUUUAAAGUCAUGUUGUUAAAUGCUGAAACCUAUCUUGAAAGCAAUGCGGUCAAGCGCACAUCAGAUAAAGAGCUUUUAGCUAAAUUGAAAUGCAUAUCAGACUGGUUCACACAGACAAUAUCAUCCUUGUAGCACCUAUAGUUACGUAAAGAAAUUGAUUCAUUAAUGAGUUGAAGCAGACCAUCUGGGUUUUUGCCCCUUGAUGUUCUUUUUCUUCUUUUUUUACUUUUUGUAGAUAUUUUACUUACCUUAAAAGAGGCUUUUCCAUUGUACCAUAGGUUCAAUUUUGGAAAUGCGUUAACCUUUUGGAUAUUCUUUUUAGAAGGCAAAAAAGAUCGCAGAGGCAAUUACCUGGUGGUCUUGUAAAUUUUCCACCAGAGAAUUCAUUCUUGUACAUACUCGGUUUUUAUCAUUAAUUAUAACAAAGGAAAAAAAGGAGAGAUUUCAGUCAAUAGUCUCGAAUGCAUCGGUGUUAUUUUUCAUUUCAAUGCAUAACUUGUAUCUUCCUUAUUCUUGGUUGCCUUAUAGCUUCCUACCUAACCCCUCGCCCACAAUACAAAUAGAGAUUAGAAUUGAGCAAUGGGGCAGGCGGUGCUUCAAAGAAAACCACUCUAGAGACUAUUUUCACGGACUAAAUGUCCAAUUAUGAAGAAAGUAAUUGUUUAAUCCACUCCCAAUCAAAAAGAAAAAAAGGGCAACUGAUAUAUUGAGCGAUAGUCCAAGCAAAUGCAAGUGCAUGCUGGACUGCCUGUGUUUUUUUAAUACUAAACAUUUUACAAUUAACAAGUCUUUAGAACCUCCAUGUCAGUGUCUCCUUCCUAAAGUUACAUUUUUUGGGAACAAUACAUCUUUUUGAUAGGAUGAAAUCCGAGCACACAAAAGGAACGCGUAAAUAUUAGUCUCUCCACCUAUGGCCACAGCUGGGGUUGCAGCAAACAAAGAACAAUGUCAUAUUUUGGGGGAACAAUACAUCUUUUUGAUAGGAUGAAAUCCGAACACACAAAGAGAGGGCGUAAAUAUUAGUCUCUCCACCUAUGGCCACAGCUGGGGUUGCAGCAAACAAAGAACAAUGUCAUACCUUCCUCUCCUCUAGCAGUUGCCUGCACAUGCAUAAUAAACUUAUAGCAUUAGAAGCACUGUAAACCAGACAAAGUUGUUCAGAGAUUACUAGGAGUUUUUGGUUCGGCCGUUCAAGGAGUGCAAUUAAAUAGAGUAAACAAACAACUACGGAGUGCAGUGACUUCAAUCUGAUUUUUCAAAAUGGUAUCUCUGUAUAAUACAGAUGUAUAGACUCCAUAUGCCCCAAAUAAAAUAAAGAAGACAAAAGAAAAGCUGCCCUAUGCCAUGGUGGUGGAUUUUUGACUGAAAGACGAACACAGAUGUUGCAAUACACGUGGCCCACCAAUCUCUAGGAUAACACAAAACUAGAGAUCAAUACUAGUGAAAAGCAAUGAAUACAUGAAAAUCGAUAGCUGAGACGAAAGGCAAGCAAUGAUUGAAGUCUAAAAGGUCAUAAUAACUUUUAAUUACUAAAGUAGAAAGCAAUGAAUACAUGAAAAUCUUUUCGCUGAUGCAUUAGUAAAGUAGCGAAGCUAUGAUAGUAUCCCGACGUUUUUUUUUUUCUCUUUUUUUGGUUCCCUGAUGGUAAGUAUUCAAUGAGAUAGAUACUAGAUUCCAAGUUGUCAUGAAAAUCCAACCGUUAAAUGAUAGAGACUUAAUUAUUAACAGUUGGCAUUUCAUCAAACUAGCAAAGGGUAAAAAUAUGUUAUGUGACGUUAAAAUUUUAAAGUCACUUUGUUAGACACCUCUCUCUCGCUUACUCUCUCUCUAUAUAUGUGUGCACCUAUGUAAUCGAAAAAGUUAAAUGAAAAGGCAAAACUAGCAAUAAAAUUCAAUGCAACAUAUAGAGGAUUGGUUAUUAACCUGAAAGAAGACAGCUUCUCCAUGCUUGCACUCUGAACAGCGCACUGCUUUGGUUCGAGGGAGAGUUGGAUCUGCAGCUACAUCUUGCAAUAUUUGAGUGCGUUCCCCAACAGCAUGGUGUAUCUCAUUUCUGUAGACACAGUUGUUGUCAGCAACCUCCUGCAAACAAAACCAAAAAACAAAACAUCUAAUAAGUAAACAAUUAUAUAAAAUGAAGGAGGAACCACGAAGAGACCUUUAACCAGAAGUGAUAAAACCCUACAGUACAGCAAAGUGAUUAGAGCACAGAGCAACCCGAAGACUCAAGCUAGACUCUAGAAAGUAACUUCAUAAAAGACCACACAGAGAAGGCCUGAAUAAUCAGAUACUUCUGCCGGGUACAAAUUUUUAGCGUGACCCAUAAAGAAAGAAGUACGAGCUAACGGGAACUCUCCAAUAAAAAGGUGGUUAUCAGAAUAAGACAGUUCUAAAAAGAUAUAUAAUUUUUAAUGCACUACACCCCAAAAAAUUAAAUUAAAUUAAAUCCCCUCAUUGAGAAAAUCUUCAGAUGUUAAUCCUAAUUACAUAAAUGAGAUUAUGAUGCAUUUGGGCAAGUGUAGUAGUAAGUACUGAGCAGAAGAACAAAGUUUACUGAGAGCCCACAUUACAUGGAGGCAUGUGGGUUUCGCAUUGAAAUUGCAGACCUUUGAAAACAUAGUUUAAAAAAAUUUAAAAUUAAAAUCCAAGGAGACAUAGAAAGAAUGAGCUACCUGGUGAUCGCAGUUGCGGCACGCGUAGAGGAGGAUCUUCUGGUCCUUGUCCUCUUUUGGGUACAGGAUAUUGUUGCUACAAAAACAGAAAUCGAAACCCAAUCAGAGACCAAAAAUAAAAUUCUCAAACAAGUUUUAAAAAUCAGGGUUUGUUGUGCAUGUGUAUGUGAAUGAGGAAGACGAUAAAUGCUGAGUUUACUGACCAUUCGCGGCAAAAUUUCAUGGUACUCAUUUUGAAAAAGCACGAGGUUUUGGGGUUUGGAGAGGUCUCUGUGUUUUGGGUUCUUUGCUUUUGGCGAAGGGCGGGUUCUCAGCUCUCCCUCUUUGUAGCUCCUCCCAGAUGUUUCUUCUGGCGGCACCACACUGAUUCACUGAGUUCUUCUAAAGAAAUUUUAAGGGUAUUUUCGGUAAACUGGAAACUUUGAGGCCUAAAGGCCCAAAGUAUUUGUAGGAGUUAUGUUGGAGGCCCAAAGCUUUAGCAGCUAUGUUUUCCAGUUUUCUUCCUCUGAUAACUUUGCUCCAAUUUAAUAGUCUUUUUUCUAUUUUCAGUGGGGUUACAUUCUGUAUUACUUUAUUUAUUUAUAUAAACGGUAUUUUAUUUAAUAUAAUCUAAAUUAUGGAGAGAGGUAUUCGAACUCAGGUGUAGAGUGGUGAGCGCAUCUGCUCUAGCCAACUUGACUAAACUCAUAUCUGCUACAUUCUUUAUUACUUUGGUUGCAUAAAUUAAUCUCUUAAUAAGCUAAUUUCUUUUUUCUAUUAUAACAAAAUAUCAAAUUUGGCUUUGAUGUCUUCAUGAACUGUAAGCCCUUCAGAGCUUUAGCCCCCAAGCAUGAUGAUUGAUAACACAAAAUCAAUGGAGUUCAAUAAACUGUAAUCUCUUCCCGUUUUAAGCCCGGCAAAUACCUGAAGGAGUUGCAACAAUUAAGGCAGAGGGCCUAUCCUCGGAUCAAUGCAAAAUCGCAGCUUCAUUUGUAUAUAACCAACUUAAAAGUUUUAAAUUUAAAAAAAAAAACAAUGGAAAUUUACCAAAUAAAAACGAUCUAUAAAAACAGUACCCCAAGUACAGUGCAAGUUCAAAUAAAGCAAAGGUCACAAAGUAAGACAUCACAAGAAACACCUACAAAGAUUAUUUUGCUUCAGAUUGGCAACAUGGAUAAUCCUUCAUCUAGGAAGCCCCAAAAUCACAACUGAACUAAUUUGAAACGCAACAUAUCUUGAACCAUACACAAGCGCUCUCCUUUAGGCUCCAUCACCUCAAUUAACACUUUCUGCUGUGUGUCCUGCUCUUCCUCCGGCUCCUCCUAUCAUCAGAAUCAGAUUCGGAAACUGACUCUGUCUCAGAAGAUUCAGAUGAUGAACUGUUCCUUCUCUGCCGCCUUCCCAUCUUUUGCUUCUUUUUCUUCCUUCUGUGCCUCCUUUCCUCCUCUGAAUCAGAAGAUGAACUGUAAUCUGAACUACUCUCCUCUGAAGAAUAAUCAGAUCCUGUAAUUGAUGAUGCCCCACUAUCAGUGUCAAAAACUGAAGCCUCACUAUCACUGCCAGAAUCAGAAGCCGCUCGAUGCUUCCUCUUGCUUUUCUUUGACUGCUGUUCACCCUUCUCUUCCUUAAUAUCUGGAAUAUCCAAAUCGUAAGAUACUGAGACCUUCAUCUUCAGUUUAGGAUUCUUGAGUUGUUGGGUCCUAGACGGUCGCGAGAUGUAAACACGUUCAUUCUUGCAUUCGUAUGUCCAAUGCCCGGGCUGGAAACACUUCUGGCAUUGUGAAGCUGCACCACUAAUGGUAAUUACAUUCGACUUAAGGUCUUUUCGUUCACCCAAUCUUACUGCCUUUUCAGUACUCAUCAAAUACAUCUGUCUCUUCGCUUCCCUUUUCUCCUGCCAUCUGCUGGGUCCUUCUUCCUUCUGCCCAUAAGCAUUAACGUUGCGUGCAGCAGAAGCAGCUGCCCUUUCAGCCUGAGCUCGACUAAGACCUUUUGCAGCACUCAAGGCUGCAGCCUUGAUCCUUUCAGCAGCAGCCUGAGCUUUCUCUUCUUUUUUACCCGACAUGUUCAAAAUCACAAUGUUCAAAUAUGAAUAUGGACAAUUGCCUACUCCGCAAAGGCCAACUGCCUGAAGUUCCAAGAAAAUAUCAAUACCACAAUUCCCAGAUGCUCUAACACCCUGCAUGUAAACAUCAAUUAGGUUAUUCACAUUCAUCGAAUAUCAGUGUGCGGGUCAACCAUGUCAAAAAAUCUCAGAAUUAAACAAGUAGUUUUUAAGUGAAUAUCAAGAACGAAAACGGAGAAGGGCCAAAAGAUAAACAUUUAAAUAAACUAUUAAAACCGACAACAAUGACCAACAUUGCAUAGCAGAAAGAAGUUUCAAACUGCCAAAUCGAUCAACAAUGACAAACAUUGACUAAAAUCUAAUAUAAUAUAGAACUAAAACUUAAUAGACGAUAAUUUAUCUGUGAUAAACAAAUGUUAUACAAGAUCUCCCUCUAAAAAGUUAGGCAAUUUCUAUAAGAAUCAUUAUACUAUACAUUAUCUUGGAAAGAAGAAAAAAAAAGUAUAGGAGCAUCAAAACUUUUCUUCGUUUCAUCUUUUCAACUUAAUCAUUCCAAUGCAUUACGCAUUUCUUGAACAAUAAUAUCAACCUCAGCUUUUUUUAAGUCAGGGAAACUGCAACCUAAAUGAUUUGCCCCUCAAACUGCUAAGGCCGACACGUUCAAGCAACAUCAACAUUACACUAAUUUUUUCAGAAAAUAAAAAAAGACCCAAGAUUUACAUUCACACACAAUCGAACCCAAACUAGUAAAAGGAAAAGAUAAAGGCUUCUUCCCUACCGAUCUAGCAGAAACUGUUGCAGAGAGAGAGAGAUUAGGGCAAUUCAAGGAAGCACCUUUACAACAAUAAAUUUCGUACAAAAACCCUAACCAACAUAUAACAAUUAUAUAAAGGAAAAAAAAACCCAAAAGUUUUUUUAAAAAAGGUUACCUUCUUGCGGUUGGAUUUCGCUGCGGGAGCUUGAAUAAGGAACAACGCUGUUGAUUUCGGUUUAGGGAAAACGGGUUUGGUUGCCUUUCUUUUAGUAUAAGGAUUUAGGCGACUCAACAGAGAAAAGCAGUCGUUUUUUGAAUUUAUAUUGACACGCAAAAAUUUGGCACGGCAUGAAUCAAUAUUUGAUUGGUUUCGUUCAUCUUCGAAAAAAAAGAAUAUGAACGGUAUCUAUAAACUUUCAAAUAACUCAAGCACUCAUUUAAAUAAAAAUUUCAAACACAAGAACAAAUACAUAAAUUAAUAGUUUAUAUUCAAGAUAAACUAGAACGUUUGUCAAUUGGAUUUUUUUUUUGUUCUUUUUAAUCUUCAAAAUCUGAGUUUUAUAACCUUUUUUUUUAUUUAAAAAAAUUCGAAAUGCCUCAAUUUCCCACACCUAUAGAAAUUGUAAAAUGACGCCUAUUUUGGUGGAAAUUAAACUCGGAAAUUUGAUAAUCUAAUUUUUACGAUUUUUUCCACGCGUCAUUUAAUAAAUUCCACGCUUAAGUUGCCAAACAAGGGAAUUUCAAUUUGUCGUCUUAAAUUCCCGACUUUUAGCUAAAUUUGAAUUAUUUUUCCUCAUCCAAACAGAAGGUUAAAGUUUUAGAGGCAGUUGCCUCCUAAUUUUAUAGCAACUGCAGAACAUGUUUUUUUUUUAAAAUUAGUUUAAAUAGAAUGUACUAAUUUAUCUUUAUUUAAUUAAGAGCAUUUGCUUUGAACAUGGUCAUUAACUAAAGACAAUUUGUGAGAUUUUGAAUGUUUCACCUCCAAGGUUUUCUGUGAUAUAUAAAGAUAUUGGCACAAGCUUUAGCACAAUGAAGUGGCUAGUUAUAACAUAAAAGGGUUUAUUCAAUAGUGACAUUUUGUUUUGACUGUAACACCAUUGUAAUAACAAAAACAAGAGAUGGGUAACACUUUAUCUCUUUUUGAUUGUUCGGAGGUUACACUCUUAGUUGGAAUGCAUAUGCCAGAAUUUCUUCGAUCAUGCGUGAUCGUUAGUGGAGGAGCCCCAUAUUGUCUUAAUUUUGAUAUUAGAUCAUUCCUUUAUUGUAAUGGCUUUUUGUGGCUAAUUUCUAUGGCUCUUUGUAGCUAAUGGUUUUUUUGGCUAAAUUAUGAUUGCAAUUCCAAAAUUUCAUACCCCCAAAAAAAAAAAGUACAUAUACUAAUAAAUAUGCAUGUGCUAUGAUAUGAGUCAAUUGUUUACACAACCUUAUGUUCACUUUGAAAAUUUUCAAUAUGGUAGCUAGAUUGGGUCAUACUUGAUAGUAAUGAAUUUGUAUAAAGACUAUAUUUUAAUGUGCGGAGGUUAUAGGUCUUUAGCACCAUUCACAUUUCAGAGUUUAGGUUUGAGAUGUGGAUUUUGAUGUUUUGGAGUUCAAGAUUUGAUUUUUUGUAUUGAGUUUAAAAGAGAAUCUAAUUACAUAACUACAUUCCAAUCCAAAACUACCUUUACUAAAACCCAAAUUGAAAGUAUAAUAUUCAUGAAAAAGUGAAAUUAACUUAUAAAAAGGUAGAAUUCUAAUAGAGACUAUCUUUGAGAUUUCAAGUGUAGAUUCAACAUUUUGAAGUAUGGAUUUUAGGAUUUCCCCAAGACCCCCAAAAUGUCAAAUCCACACCCAAUACUCCAAAAUGUCAAUCCCCAAUCAAAAGCCAGGAUUUCAAGGCUCACACCCAAAUUGUAAGAAUGCCAAUACUAGUCUAAAAUGUUCUAAGUUUUUGAAUGUGGGAAGUGGGAUAUUUUCAGAUCAUAGAAUGCACGCAGCUGGUUUUUUUUAUUUAUAGAAGUCCUUAAAUUUGGUUAUGUUCCUAAAAGUCCUUAAAAACUGUCGAAGGUAUUUGUUCUGCUUGGAAAGACCAAAAUCAUUGUUCUCUGGGUUUACCUUGUAAAAUGAACCUGUAAGAAAGUUCUCAUCUAUGUAAUUUUCUGUGAUCCAAGUGAUUCUAUCAUAUUGUGAAAUGAUCUUAACAUCUCAAGGUUGUAUUAGAAUUAAGACUUAAAAAUCUUGUAGGAUUAACCUAAAAAACAGAACUUCAAUAACCCAACAUUUAAACCAUCUGGAUAUUAAACCAGUGAAGUUUAACCAAAAACCAUACGAGGAAAAAAGGUCUAGUAGACCCUGAAAAUUCUUGAUGGUGAUGAUUAACCGAUCCAAAAGCAAAAAUCCUAACCAGAAGUUUUCUUAAACAAGAGACGGAGCAAAUCACAUCUCCACAUUAUCAAAGAAAAGCUCUCUGCGGGACUAGGCCCCAGUCAGCAGCCUAAAAUAUUCCAGAGAGAAGAUUUGCAGCAGUGGAUAUGGCAGCUCCAGUUAUAGCACCUUGCACAAUCUGCUCGUGGGACGACCCCUCCGAUGUGAGUGCCAGAGCCACCCCCGUAAUCGCUCCGGCAACUGCACUGUUUUUCUGCAUCAAAUUUUAAGCACGCACCAUAAAAGUAGCGAUUCUUAGCAUGCCUAAUGCUGAAGCGUUCAUCAUAGAAUUAGAGACCAAAAAAAAUUAUAUAACCAUUACCCAAUCAUGCGCCCCACGAGCCUCUGUCAGUCCAUAUGUGAGACCUGAAUACACCCCUGCAGCCAGCCCUGAUAUGAAAACAAAUUGUUAGCUCCCUUCUUUCGAGUUGCUACUGUGCUACACGCGAUUAUAAGCAGGAGGAACUGAAACCUAGAGCUUUAUUUCAACGGGGGAAACGAAUUACACUCAAGUCAUUAGCAUUGGCUACUGUGUAAAUCUGAUGCAAUUUCAUGCUUGUAAUUCAAAUAUAAAAUCUACUAACCCCAUUGCAAAGAUUCCUUUCCAGUAUGCUUCACCUGAAAAACAGUAUGACAACUAAUCAGCAACUACUAACUACAUCAUCAGUCAUGACCAGAGGCCAGAGAAGUGAAUUUUGCAGAGCAUGGUGAUUUGUUAAUAAAAGGAUCGACACCGGAGCUCCUUAUCGUUUAUUAAACUGAUUGGUGUUGGAUGCAGGAGAAUAAAUUUGAGUUCCAAAUGAUCAAGUAGAGAACAUAAGGCGAAAUUUAGGUGGGCAUAUACGAGCCACGGCUUAGCUGAAUCAAUGGUUGUCCUGUUGCAGAGGGCAAAAGUCCUAAUUACAGUGAAAAUACAUGGUUGAAUUGAAUGUUAACUUUAAACUCACCAUAGCCUCGAGAGAUUUUGUAUUGUUUUCACCUGCAAAGGGCACAUAAAACAAUCACUUGAGACGAUCGUGCAAUGCAUAGCAAUAACUGAGCCCCCACCAACUAAUUUGGAAGGACAAAUUAGAAUGAAUGGUUUGAUAAGAAAAGGUGAGAGGAGAUGACCAGAUUCAAUAAAACAACGAAGAAAUUAACAUAACAUAUACCUCUGAGGUCAGGGAAGCGAUGCUUUUUGUUGCCUGAGAUUUCCGGCGGGAUACCGCCACCGCUUGAAUCAAGCCCUGCACCUUAUAAGAAUAAUGGUGAACAUCCCAAGCCAAAACCAAAAGAGACAAUAUACAUCAAUUACACGCGCGCACGAGGAUUAUCAAAUCUUAAACAAUUGUUUUGUCCCUCCCUCGAGACAGAGGCUUCAACUCAUUCAAAAGAGAGAACAGAAAUAAUACCAAGAAAAGAAACUCAAAGUAGAAGGAAAUAUAUGAGAAUAUAUAGGGAAAUGAAGAAGCAACAUAUAUAUAUAUAUAUAUAUAAAAAGUUGGAAGAGGACAAAUUAAGGCACCUUCAGUGGCUGUGAAAUAAGCCUCACGUGACACAGCCUGAAUAGCUCCUAUCUGUCGAUUGCAGCAACCAACAGAACCAGCCUUAUUAACAUAAUGCUCAUCUCACAUAUUCUACGUACGUACAUACACAUGAAGAUAUAUAUAUAUACACACACAUGUACAUACAACAAGGAGAGAGAGAGAGAGAGAGAGAGAGAGAGAGAGAGAGAAGAGGACCCCAGCAGCUUUGAGAAAGCUCUCAGCGAUGCGGUUGAGGAGAGGGUGGCCGAAGUCGAAGAAGCCACCUUUCUCGAAGCUACGCAGCUCCUGAAGCAAGGAAGGCCUUGUUUCCAAAUUACUGCUGCUCGUGUUCAUCAUUCACUUCAAUACUUGUUUAUUUCUUUGAUGAUUUGUUUUUUUCUCUCUACACUCCUUCCUCCCAGAUAAUAUAUAUAAUAUAUAUAUAUAGGUAUGUAUCAAAAGAAAGAAUUAAGGAUAUGAGGUUAUCUCUGUACGAUGGAACUGAUGAUGCAGUGAAGGUAGAUUUUUGGUCCAAGAGUGAAGAUAGAUAGUACAUGGUACUUGUGAACAAGAGAACAGAACAAAGCAAGUUAGAGUGGACACGUCUACCUGCCACGUACCCACCUACGUGUCUUUCUUCUGCGAACUUGGAGGCGUCUUCUUUGCAACUGCUUCGCCACAUGUCCCCCUUCCCCUGCAACCAGUUUCUCACUUCGCUUAACCCUCCCCCAAUGGAGAAAAUACAUGAUUAGUUUGUUGAAAAACUGAGUUAAUUAAACAGCUGCAUUAGAUUAAGACGCACAUCUAGGUUCUAACUGAGACUCGUUCGUUAAUUUUGGGAUGGGCGCUGAUUUUUCCACCAUCAUUUUGUCCACUUAUACUCUUUUAUAAUUUUCAAUAUAGUGAGUGCAAGUGGACAAAAUAUGAGUGGGAAAAUAUACUUUCUUAGGCCCCGUUUGAUUCACGGAAUGAAUUUGAUGGAAAAUCAUUUCUCAUAUCAUUUCCUAAAGGAUGAGAAAUUGAAGAUUCUUUCCCCACGUUUGGUAAUGCUAAGAAAGUAAUCGGGAAAUAACACUUUAUUUCCUUUCCAUGUUUGUUUUGAGUAUGAAUGGAAAAUAAAGUUUGUAUAAAUUUUCUAUGGGUAAUGCUAGAGAGACCAUCUUUUUUGUACCACAAUUGUAUAUCAUCUGAUGUGGCAUGCCAAAUCAUUUAAUAUAAUUACAUAUAUUUUAAAUUUUUAUUCUCCCCUAAUUAAAGCACAAAAGUUAUUAAAUAUAGCUAAAUAUAUUUUAUUAUCCCCUAAUUACAGCACAAUUACCGAUAGGAGUCUUUCAAUCUUCACUCUCUCUUCUUCCUUCUCCCUACACUGUCUUCUCCUAAACAAUUUUAUGAUUGCCGGAUUUUUCAUGGGUGUUGAACACAGAAUCAACCCCUUUCCUCAUGUUGGCUACCAUUUUUUGUUCUUUUGUCUCUUACGGCUUGCAACUAGUGGUCAAUUUCGCAGCCAAAAAAAAAAAAAACCUAGUUGCUAUAAUGUGGUGGAAAAAGCAACUGAUCUGAUAAAAACUUUAUAUCUUCAUGGACUCCCUCAGAAAUCUAACUAUACUGUUCUUGUAGAUCUGAAAUAAUAUAAUAUUUAGAAUCAAAACCCAACUACCUUUCCUUGUUGUAUGAAAUGGGAGACGGAGAAGGAGGAAGAGGAAAGGCUAUAAAUGAAUAAAUAAAUAAAUCUGAUGGGAUCAGUGCAUUAAUUAGGGGAGAAUAAAAAUUUAAAAUAUAUGUAAUUGUAUUAAAUGAUUUGGCAUGCCACAUCAUCUUCUACAUCAGAUGGUAUACAAUUGUGGUACAAAAAGAUGGUCUCUCUGGCAUUACCCAUUUUCUAUUAUACCCAUAUUAAAUAAAAAAAGAAUGCAUUUAAUGAUAUAUUGUAAUUCUAAAUUGUUAAUGAGGGACAAAAUGGUCAUGAAAAAUGUGUAUUUAAUGUUGGUUCAUUUCCUCCAAACUUUCCCAUGAGGAGGGAAAACAAAACCCAAGUUGGGAGGAUAACUUCACUUUCCUUCUUAUUUUCUCAUGGGUCAGGCAACGAUUUCUCAUGCCUGGACUUACCAAACAUGGGAAAGUAAUUGAUUUCUCAUGCUCAAGUCUCAUUUCCCAUGAACCAAAAGGUGCCUUAGAGCAUCUCCAAGGGAGAUGUCAAAUGCAAAAUGUUGAAUUUGAUGGCUUAUGUAGCAAUUUGACACAUUGGAACAAAUUUAACUCCACCUGAAAUGCUAAAUAUAAUAUUAUUUUAUUAUAUUUUUAAAAGCAAAUGAAGUCCAUAUGAUGCAUCAAGUUUUAGAAAAGAGUAAAUGAUAGUGGAGUCCAUGACUAAAAAAAUAUUAAAAUAACAUUUGACAUCAAGCUUUUUGAUAUGUUAUUUUUGACAUAUCUCUUCCGACCUUCAAAUCUAUGUAGGAUUUAACUACUCGGUUAGAGCAACUUUAACCUUCAACUUUUGUCAUUUCAUGUCCUUGUGACAAUUUGACAUAUUAAUUAAAGAUGGUCUAAAUACUUACUAAAACAUUUUACCAUAAGCACCCAAAAAGUAUUUAAAUUCUACGUUAAAAUUCAUAAUUAAAUACUUUUAAAAUUAAAAAAUGGAACCAAGUAGAGUAGUUAAUCUAAUUCCAAUUCCAAUUCCUUAAUUCCCUUACCUAACUUCCUCUACUCGUAGCUUCUUUCAUUCUAUGCCUCAAUUGUUUCUAAACAUUUCCUUGCGGAAUGGAGCUGCCUACAAAUUACAAUUACUGUGCACUUGUGGUUUUUGGGGUUGCAGGCUAAUAAGGCAGACUGAAAACCUUCAAAAGCUUUCUGGAAUAAUUAUAAAGUCAAUAACUAAUUUACAGUGAGCUACAAAUUGAAAAUUUCCACUCAUACUACUACAUUUGACGAAAAUUGGCCUCUAAACCCACUCCCUACACACACACACACACACACACACACUCUCUCUCUCUCUCUCUCUCUCUCUCUCUCUCUCUCUCUCUCUCUCUCUCUCUCUAUUACAACCACUCACCCACCACUAAAACUUUUUUAACAUCAGAGGUAUACCCACCACCAUACAGGGCACGUAUUGGUGCCCUACCUAUCACAAGCCAAAAAAGAGCCAACAUGAAGAAACACAAACUUGUGAACAAAAGGGGGAACCUCAAAAACCAAAAGCAAAAAAGAUAAAAUUGGAUAUAGAAAAUCAAAUGCUGAUUGAAUGUUUUACAAAAGCAAAUACUUCAAAGCCCCAAAAAGGCCAAGUGAAGAAGAGAAGACAGGCCCCACAUUGUGAGAGUAUGACUUUCUUUUUUCCGCGUCGCAAUGGCACACUAUACAGUAUUCGCUCCUACCAUCGAUGGAAGCCAGCCAUAGACCAAAAUUCAUCCUCUUCUGCAGGUUCACUUCCUCUCUUUCAAAGUAUGUUGUUCAUCUGUUGCCUAGGACCUCUUUCUGGCACCAAGCACACAUUCACAAGUUGCAUCAAGAACACAAAGUAGUAACUGCACUGGCUAUGGUUCUAAAAUACAACUCAGGAUCCAUUUACAGCCAUUUCUGGUGAGGAUUUCGGUGGUAUCAAUGGGCAGUCCUCUCCACCCAACUGUCUAUUCUCCGAAGUGCCAUGCAAGCGAUCGCAGCAGCCUCUAGAAGUGGCAGGCUCCUUCUCUCUAUUAUCCUCAUCCUCUGAAUUGUUGCUAUCAGCACAGCUCCUAGAAACAGCAUGCUCAUUUUCUUGAUUUUUCCCUUCACCUGAGUUGCUGACCCCAUCAGCUGUGUGAGUUGUAUGCAUGUUGCUUGCAGUUUUCUUAUUCGGUAGCACUGCCUGGCUUAGAGUUGUACACAAAGCAGCAAACACACUUUCUUUUGGCUUGGAGUUUUUACCUAACCGUUGCCUCUUUGCAAGCUCGGGCUCCCUAUCCUUAGAAGCCAAUUUCCGCUUCAACCUAAGGGACUCCAUUGUUCCUUCAUCUUCAUCGGAGGUUUCAGGAUGUUUCCUGGGCGGUGGCUUGUAGUCUUCGUCAUCCUCAUCAUCAUCAUAAUCUACCAGCCCGACAGACCUUGGACUACAAAAUUCAAGAUGAAAGUAUGGGUUAUAUAGCAAAAAUAUUCUGAAAAUGCACUCUGUGAUAAACUAAAUACGAACAGUACAAUACCUGGAUGGUGGAUGGUUUGCAGCAACACCAUUGGAUAAUACAGGCUGAGGUUGUGCCUGUACUUUUUGGGUGUUUGGCAUGGAUGCAGAUGCUGUAUCUUCUUCAUCACUGAUUACCAAGUUCCAUAUUCAGUGGCUAUUGGUAGCAAAACUUAGCAGCAAAGAGCGCUGUCAAUCUCAAUAGACGUUCAGCACAAAAACAUACCUGUCUUCAUUAAAAUAAUCUUCUUCUUCUUUCUCCAAAGCACGCUCAUCAGUUCGUUUUCUAGGGUCUGACACAUUGGUGCUUCCUUUUGGUCCAAAACUUUCUAGGCACUGCAAAAGCACUUGUCAAUAAAAAAGCUCUAAAUCUAGGAGUGGAAGAACUCUAGGAGGAGCAUAGUACCUGCUCAUAUUUUACUUUUAGUGCUUGAACGGAUGCGAAAAACUCAAAUUUGACCAACUGAUCCCAGAAUGAAUCAACCAAGUAUUUGACCAAUGCUUUCAGAUUUUCCUGCAAAAACAAAAGCAUGGAUUAGACGAUAACUUCAAGACAUGCUUUAUCUCCAAAUAAUAAGGUCUAAAAGAGAGUGGAACCUUCCGAAUGAACUCAAAAAGUUCUAAAACAGCAGAGUUGAGCAGGUUAUAUCGAUUUCCAUUACCAACAAAUGCACCUACAAUCGGCUUGAGAAGGUUGUUCUUAACAAUAUGAUUUAUCAGAUGCUCAUCCUGCAGAUUUAUAUUCCAAUAGUUACAUGAAUAACCUAGCCCACCAAAAAAUAAUGUAUCAUGGGGGAGGGGGGGAGAGAGAGAGAGAGAGAGAUGUAUAACAGGAACAUAGAUAAUCCUUAAUAUUCUUAUACGGUACAAUUAGUUGACAACUUGUUACACGGCAUUUUUUUUUUUUUUUGGGUCUAUAAACUUGUCCACAGCAUUGUCAAUUGCAUAAGAUCCUCUCAAACAGCUAAACUGCCCUUUGUAGCCAACAUGACGCAGAAACAAGAACCAUUUUGUAUUACAACUACUAUCAUAUGGAAAAUAAAUAAAUUCAAUGCAACUGCUAUGCUCAAAUCAAAACAAUCCAUACCAUGCAUUCACCUUUAGUCUUGUAUGGAAAUUCACUCAUCUUAACUUCCCUUGAAGACCAUUUGGGUCUAUUUCAAAUCCUAACUGAACUAAAGGACGAAUGAAACUUUUUUUACAAUCAACACAAACUCACAUGACGGGAUAGAAUAGUGCGAACAAAUCGAACUGCAGCAACAACUAGAUACUUUUCCCUUCUUUGUGUUACCAACAAAACUUUAUCUAUGACGUUAUUAAGAAGAAAGUUACACCUGCAAAUGACAAAAACCCAAACAUUAAAAUGUCACAGGUCAGCAGCAGAAAUCCAUUUAUGAAAAUUGAAGAAGAAUCCAAGAUGUUACUUUAUUCUGUAUGGAUGGUGAAGAACACAAAAGCAGAGCAAUUCACAUAUGUUUGACAGUAUUUCAGGCUUCGCGACAUUUUGAUCAAUUGAUUGAGCAUUGCCUUCCAAAGGACAUGACGCUGUUAUAACAUCAAUUAACUGACCCAGAUGCUUCUCAUAGAAAAUCUCGAUAAUUGCAUCUCUCUGUAGGAAAAGCAAACGAGUUAAAAAUACUCAAUAACCAACUCAUCCAGAUACAAGCAUAAAAACAAGGCUUGAAAAAGAAAUUAUUCCUUACAUGCAAGUUUUACUGACAUGACUUUCCAACAAUUCAGCAGAAAUAUAAUAAACUACAAUUCAACAUUCAAAAUGUUACACCUGCAUAAAUAAAUUCAUACGUAUUGCAGACUCCAAAUGCAGCUUCUCUAUGUAUGAAGCUUCUACAAUUGUGAAUUUGUGCUAAUAAAAAAUUAACAACUCUAAAUAAAAGAGCAAUCCAACGAUUUACGAGAUGCAACAGAGCAAAAUUGGUCAUGAAAAGUAACAGCCAACAGAGAUUUGAAUACAGUGAAAAUGAAAAAUGCACAACUAGAACUUCCCCAAAAUGAAAAUGGACGCAAAAUCAUUGUAUAUAAAACAAAACAAUGACCUCACCCGAGUGAGCUGAAAACACAACAAUAAAAAGUAGAUCAUAUCAACGAAAUCUACAAUUAACCAGACACCUGAAGGUAUAGUGAAUGAAUUAGAUAGUAGUAAAGGUAAUCUCCUAUUCGAUGGUUCAAUAACCAAAUUCAUAAAGCCUCUCAUUAUGUUUCUAAUAUUAUACAUUUAAUAUGUAAGUAAAGAUGACUAUACAAGUUCUAGUGAAUAUAGCAACAAGAAAGUUAUGUUAUUCAGGAAAUAGAAGCUCCUAAAACAAAAAAGGUAAUUAUUCAUAUCCUCCAAAUAGUGCUAACAUGUUCACUAAAAAAUUAUGCUGCAAAUGUUACAUGCACACAUAUGACCACACGCACAAAGAUAUAUGAACACUUACAUGCAUAUAUACAAAUACACUGCCCCUCUAACCUAGGUGGACCUGCCGAUAAAGUUACUGGUACGGCAUUAGUUGAUUGUGAUGGAGAAGUUGGAAUUUAAGAAUGAAAAAGAGUGUAUAAGAAAGGACAUGAGAGGAGACAAAAGAUGAAAUCCACUGUAAGCUAUUAAUACAUAGGGAGACAACAGGUGAGUUCUCCUAGAGAGUGACAGUAAUAUAGUGGCAUCUUGAUGAUUUUCCGGGCACAACUCAUGGCUAAGAACAAGUAGUACACAAAAGAUAGAAGAAUAGCCAAAACUACAAAUUUCUUGACAUACUCAUGUAUAAACUUAAUCAUUCAAAAAUAUAUUUAUUGAACAAAAAUUUACUAGUGCAAAUACCUGAGCUCCUGACAAUGUGUAUGAAUCUAGUAGACUACGAAGAAUUUCAAGAAACUGACAGUGCAUGUCUUCCCCAAAAUCUGUAAUCAUUCCUUUAACCUGUAAGUAGACCAUUAAAUAUCAAUAUUCAUAGAGGUAACACAAACGCUUGCAUUGGCAUUUAUAAAUUUCAAAUAUGGAUCUCAAAAAAGAUUCUAUGCCUGCUCCCAUGCAGUUUAUCAAACUCAGAUGCAAGCACAUCUCAAAUUAUACAAAUUAAGGGGGGGGAAAUAGAAUCCUUUUAGAUAUGCUUGCUAUGAUCAUUGAAUACGCGUAUGGAAACAUUCCAUCAGAAGCUAAGUAUCAAAGCUAAACCAUUACUUUUCAUCUUUUCAUUUCCAAAAAACAAAAACAAAAAACCUAAUCCUUAACCUAAUCCCAGUUUUAAAUUUGCAGUGCAUACAAUCCUCAAAACAACGCUUCACAAAUAUAACCUGUGUUCUUGCUUAAUUAGGUCCAUAAAACAGGGUUUAGGCCCAUUGAAAUUUGAAUAAUUCACUAGGUUUAACACAGUUCAACUAUAAGAUUUCUUUCGAGCUCAACUAACACAGGUUAUUGUCUGGUGCACGUGUCAUUUCAUACACAAACACUAAAUUAAAAAAGUGCAUACCAAGAGUCCUAGAAGUGGUAUUCCUUCCUGACGAACAACAUAUGAACGAAGAAGGUUUGGAUCCUGAUUCAUGAAAAGAUUGAGGAUAUCUGUCCUGCAUCCAUUUAAUCACCAAUUGUCAGGACUAUGACACAACGAAAGAAACAGAUAACAGAAUGACAAGCACCAGACUACAGAGAACAGAUACUUUAAGUUCAUGAUUACCCAGUUAGUACAAGCUUUUUAUCUUGACUCUGCAAAGCAUCGGUUACAAUGUCAAAGAUUCCUUCAUUCAUGAGAUCCCUACAGGAAUUUAGGUUUUCACUCUUAGAAACACAGGCAUUAUAUAAGAUAAAAGAAUAUUAGCCGACCCCCGUAAAGAUAAGCAGCCAAAAUAUGAAAAAGGCAACAGAGAGAUGCAAAACAUAAUGGAGGUUCAAGAAAUAUAACUUCAGGAAUUGUUUACCUAAACAGGCGGAGCUGCUGGACCAUUGGCAGGCUUUUGCUUAAACUACAAAACUCAUGCAAGAAAUAUACCUACAAUAUGAAGGGGAAAAAAUGAUAACCAUGAUCAACAUUGAGGUACAUCAAGAAAAUUAUCCACACUGCACUAACAAAUUCUAAGGUCACUAUCAUUGCUAUGGCUAGAGUCUCUUUCACGACAUCAAAAUCCUAAUGAUUAUAUCAAAAUUCAGUAAAGUUUAUGGUAAUGAUAUUAAAAAAGUAACCAUGUUACUAGCAAGAUAGUGUUUAAAUUUGCGACAUUAAUAUAUACUAAACCUUUAUUUUCAUUUCUAAUUAAAUUCUCGGAGGGAGAAGAAAAUCAAAUGAAACAGAAAGAUAAAUUACACAAUCUAAAUGAUCAAUUACAUAUUCAUGAACUAUCCCUUCGGGAAGUGCACUGCAUCAUGCCUCAGAUAAACAAUGGAAGAGCGCUUAUGGAAAUCAAAAUUACCAAGUUCCUUUUAGAUUCUGCAGAGGUGGAUGGUGACCUUAACCUAGCAAACAAUUCCUGAAUAAAGGUACUGUCGUCCUUUAGCAAAGAAACAACCUACAACAGAUUAGGAACAUUAGGAUUAUUGUAACACACAGCCCUCCACAUGUUUAACGAAUGAGUAGUAAAAUCUUACAAUAGCAUUGUUUGCAUGAAUUAUGGAAUUGAGAUUUCCAACCGUGGCCUCAUCCAGUACUCUAGCCAAAACAACAUCCUAAAGAAGUAGUCGAAAGUAAGAUUUACUACCAAAGAAGUAGGUAAAAUGAAAAAGUUAAACGGAACAAAAGACGAACCUUUAAAUAUCCAACUUUAUACGUCUGGUGUAUCUUUGACAGAACCAUAUGAUCUUUAAUCGGUAUGGCCUGUGCAAAGUAAAUUUAUAAAUACGGAUACAUGAGAUAAAAGAAACAACUCCCAUAUGCAUUAAGAUGCUCUCCAACAUUUCUAGUCCUUACCCCCAAAUCCCAACCACACAACCUAAAGAAAAUUAUUACCUCCUUAAAAACAACAUGCUCUUUUAGAAAGUUACGAUGGUGUUGGACAUGAGGUACUUCAGGGUCAUCUGCAAUCCAAAAUUCAAGUAUUUCAACAUAUCAAAAUAAUACUGAAUCAUAAUGAACUGAGAACCGAAGUACUAGGCGACAACUAAAUUGAAUUCCAAUACAGAAGGUUAUCAUGAAAGAACACAAACCAAUAACAGAACUCACACUCAAGGGAACCAAUGACAUCCAUGAUUAAAUCGUCACCAAAUAUUUUCUCAAAGAUCUGAGGACUAUUCAGCAGAACUGCAGGUAGGAAAACACAUAUCAGUCAGUAAUAAAAGGAAAUACAUACAUUUAUGUGGCAUAUUUUGAGGGUAAAAUACCAUAAAGGAAUACUUACUGAUCCCCCUUACUAUUUUGUAUAUCAUGUGAAGACCAUCAACAUUUUCCAAGUCUUCACAGAUUCUAAAUAGGCCCAUGAGCUUUCGGAAAAACUCUUGCUGCGUUGAGAUUAAAAGACUCAUUAGAAAAAACCAACAAGCUGUAAAUGAAGGUUACAAUACGACAAAUUUUAUGAUUAAAAUAACUAAAUUCGACCUACUACAACAAUUGGUUGUUUACUGAAAUGAAAUAACCUUGCUAACUAAUCCACUAUCCAUUUCUUCGGAGAUCCACAAAGUUAUACAAAGCUUACAUCAGUCAAUAUCAGUUCUGUCAAUCGCAUCUGAUCAGCAAUGCCACUCUCAGCUACAGUCUGCAUCACAUAUGCACAUGCAUUGUCAUCACUUCGCAUGUAACUUGCAUAAAUAUAAGACAUUCCACAAGGGAAAAACGAAAGAUAAGAAAAGCUUGAACAUAAAGUGAAAAAUGUGGAAAGCAAGAAAGAUAAAACCAAUAAUAUGAGAUGCAAAAGAACUGUCCCACCUUCAGGAUUAAAGGAAGUGUCGAUAGCUCAACCACAGGUAGCUCCCUUAACUCACUGUUUGCACUGUGAAAUGUCUCAUCUACAGAUAUCACAGAAGAUGAACAAUUCAUGCUCCGAAUUUGAAACAAAUAAAUUUAAAGAGUGCGCGCACACAAUGUGACCAAAAAUCAACGACAAAGAAAUCUGAAGGAAUUUAGAAAAGAAUGAGUGUAAUGUUCCUCCACAUUUGUUCCCCAUUUCUUCAAGAUAUUUCUACCUUUCUAUGCUACACAUGGUCAUCAUUUGAAUUUUAACAGAACUUUAUUGCUAUUCAUAUUACUUGAAACAAUUCCACUCCUUUGCACAACAGCAAAAUCUAUGAUUGUUAGAACACUAUUCAUUCUCAGCACAUAAAAGUUGAAAUAUUAAUCAACCAAUGUGUGUUGCCUUAACCCAGAAUGGCUAGAACUUGCCUAACUUCAAUUGCUUAAGGCGAUGCCCAAAUUCAUUAUUCGGGCAUUUUACAGGGAUAAGCCUGCUGAAUGGUACCUUAACAGUUUCAUCAUGCAUUCUUGUGUUAAAUAUCUUGUUUUCUGGAGCAACUUGUUAGUCUUAUAAUAUAGAGAUUACAGAAAACUCUGUAGGGUUCCACUUCCACAAACAAGGAAAAAGAAUUCUUUAAUCAAUUACUCGUGACAGAGAAUUCUUUCAUCAAGAAAAAAUAUCCUCAUGCACUUUAGUUAAAAAAAUAAAUGAAAAACACAGUAUGUAGUAAUAGUAUUCAAUAAAAAUAAGAUUAAAAAUACAAAUAUCCGACCUCUGUAGAUAUUGAUCACUUCUCUCUGACAAGCUUCAAUAUCUACAGAGGUCAGUUAUUUCAAAAGCAGAAAAAGAAAAGGGAAUACAUUUUGAAUCAUUUUGCAAACACUUACUGUUAAGAGAAUUAAAAUGUAAAUUCCUUUGGACACUGCAUAUGUGGUCCCUGAAUAGAGCACGGAAAAUAAUUAGUAGAAUCAGAAGAUCAAGGACCAUGUUAAAAGGAAGAACAAGGGAAAAAAUUUGGUAGUUACCAUAUGUAAGAGCAGCCAGUAGACUCCUGAAAGCUGAGAGCUAAUUCCGUAGAAUAUUCUGGAUCCCUCCAUGAGAUAAUUGUAUCUUAACAAGAAAUAUUCCAAACUCCACAAUUCAGUAUCAAUUCUAGCCACUUGAGGACACCAUAUAAUAGCAAAUUAACAUUAUAUUAUCUAUCCAUUAAAAAAUAAAAUACCUUCUUGCUUUCUGUAGAUAUCAUCCGAACUGAUACGAUGCAGAAGUAAUGUCUCAUUAUCUUCUUCAUCAAUAACAAAUAAACCCAGCUCUUCUGAUCUCUGUGUCACAACAGUUGCAUUCAAUCAUAAUGCAUAUCAAGAAAUCAUUUCUAAGGAAACUUGACUCAAACAACUCAUUUCUCACAAAUUUACUCUGUCCCUAUCAGAUUAGCAUAGCGUUAAACCAAUGAGAUUAACAAACCUCCAUAUAGUCAACCGUAACAUGGCCUGUUCCCUGAUCAUCCCAUUUUCCAUCUUCAUUCAGACGGUAGACCUUAACACGCUGAGAUACAUAAAAGAAAAAUUAGACCAAAAACUUCUACCACAUUCUAUAUACCAAUAUUACAACUGCAAAUUUAAACUAUUAGAUGCUACCCGGAGCAGAUACAAGUCGGACAUCAACAUGGCACUAGCACUCCAUAGAUAAUUUAUAUAUCAUGUGACAUGUCAACAUCUUUUCUCCACCCAACACUUCUCCAAAAAGGCUGAACCUGACUUGGAGGUUGUGAUGUUUUUCAAAAAGGACAGCAACGAUAAUGAGGAUAAUGAGGAUUGUUAGCCCAGUGAAGUUCUUUAUUGUUCUGGGAGGGUCUUUUCUUGUAUUUUGAUUUAACUAGAUGUAAUGGUUUGAUUAAGUUAUAACUGCUGCUUUGCAUACUUGAAUGAAAUCAUUUACCAUAUAAGUUUAGAUAAAUUAGUUGCAUCUAGCCAUGUAACGUCAUAAUCUUUUUGAGAUUCUACAACCAACCGUGUUCAUAUUGUGUUGGUUCUUCGAAGCACAUAAACAAGUAAAAGUGUAAAUUCACAAUCAAUUGAGUCACUAUAAUACCAUAAAGAGAUAAUUACCAAAGACAACAGUUUUAUAUGAAUAUGAAAAAUUCUAAGAACUCACAAAUACAUACAAAAUAUAAAAAAUGAGGAUAAAAUAGAAAUAAAUAUCUUUAAAAUAUGUAAUGGAAAAGUUUCCUUAAGAAAAAUUUAAAUUAAUGGCAUUGCUUUCCAUUUUCUUAACAUGAUAAAUAGUGUUAAGGCAAUAAAUUUCAGUAAUGUCACAAAAUGUGUCACUUGUUCAACGCAGUUCCUUAAGAUUAUUAAAUUUAACAUCAUUCAGCUCAGAAAUCUAUUUGUUAUUAUGGGACAAUAUAACGGUCCAAAAGCUAGUAAUCUAGUACAAUGAAAUUGGUAUUGUAGAGAUCACCAACUUAAAAGAAAAUAAUAGAUGCCAUCGAAAGGUUGUAAAGUCAAUCUACGUCAUCAACAUGUCAUCUGAUGAGGAAAUUUUCUAAGGAAGACCAAUACUGCAGCACAAACAAAACGACAACGACGACAGCUAUCCUCCAAAUUCUUCGGUUUCCAUGUUAGAGAAAACAGAAAUAUCCAAAAAACCACAACCAAAUUAAGCUGGGGCCCACAUUUCAAGGUCCAGAACCUAACUAAAUUAGGCAUGAGAAAAGGUAUAAAUAUUUGCAUGGAGCUCAAACAAGCUGUGCAUAACGAAAGAAUUCAAAUAUACCGCUCAGCCUACCCAACAAAAAACUACCAAUGAACUCUUUCCCAUGACAAAUCAACUAUAAUCCUCCUCCUUCAACUUACACGGAAGUAGUAUCAACCACAGAGACCAAGAGCUUUAACAAUUCCCAAUUACAAAAAUAAACUCUAUCAUCCUUCAACCUAAAGCAGUGCCUUUGUCAAUACUUCAAUACUACAACUUCCCUCAACAGAUGAAAAGAUACUUUUAGAAAGUUCCUUAACAGCACAUGGAAACGGCAAUUAUAGUCACCUUUCCAGUGAAGAACAGUAUCCUUUCUAUUAAUAGAACAGAAGACAAGUAACACUGUGUACCUAUUGACUCUCUUGUUAAACGGUGCCACACACUUCACUGCAACACCUCUUAGAGCUCAACCAGCUGAUAUGAUAUGAACACUACUUUUAAAACUUAAAGACGCCUCGGAGAACACAAGCAAGAUUUAGUUUUGCAUCGAAAUCCUAACGGAAUAGAAUUUGAAAUGUUAUCAUUCCCCAAACACAUAUAGCCAGCUCCGCCCAAAUGGAAUUAAAUUAGCUAACAAAAUUAAACAGAAAGCAAAACCAAAUAUCCAAUUGAGAGUGAACAAAAUCAACCCCGAGCUUCAAAAUUCGAAAAUAACAAAAAAGACUGUAUACACUGCGAUUCUAGGUCAAAGUUUUGAGCUUCCUAAUUUUGUAGAAAAGCACACACACCUGCAUCGAAUUGGUAUUGGCCUGUGAUUUCUCCGGCGCACCCAUCGGAGCUCCCUACUCUGCGAUUCAAGUUUCGUAGCUAAAAUUGGGUAAUUGGGUAAGAGUCUGAAUCGAACAGGGGAAUUUGACAAAAUUUCAAUUAGGGUUUUGAGGGCGGGGCAAAAGAGAGAAGACGAGGGCAGAGGCAGGUGAUUAGGGUUCCCGGAGAUCAGUAGAAAACCCUAACCGCCAUUAACGUAGCAGUGUGAACCUACGAAUUUUCUCGCGCUUUCUCUCUCUCUCACACUCUCUCUCCGCUUUUUAUUCUUUUCUGUGCAAGUGUCUGAGCCCCGACCUUCACCUUCGAUAAUUAGAAGAAAAGUGGAAAACUAUUACGCAUGUUAGAAAUUGUCAUAUGCCCGUUAUACCCCUUGUUUUCAUGUGAAAUUACGGUGAAGCCAAUGACCAUAGAGUCCACGCACUAUCCACGCGCUUUCUUUUCGCGAUCAAAUCACGAGAGAGUUGGUAUAUCAUAUGCGUUGCUCUGCCCUGAAAAGCGGGUCCCUUACCUGCCUGUAGCUGAAAGACGCACACGUUCGCUUCUGAUUGGCUGCUCAAGAGUAUAUCACGUGUAGCUUCUAGUAACUAGCUGUGACGGAACGGAACUUCGCAACUCCUUCCGGUCGCCAAAGAACAACCGCGCAGGUUGCACCAAAUUUUGUGCAACCCAGAUGUAUGAUUAGUCUGGCACCUUUUGCUAGUUCAUUUGUGUUUGUGAGGACUUGGAAAACUAAAAUCUGGUUGAGAUGUGACGUGGCUUAUGGUGAGUGGAUGGAUGAGAUUAUACGGUUAGGAUGGGAAAAUGAGUGAACCUAGAGUUUGCCUUUCUCAUAAAAUGUUCUUUAUAAUCAUGCACUCCACGAAAAAAAAAACACAUAAUAUUAUUUUAUAAUAAAAAUAAAAUUGUUUCUCAAGUAUUUUCUGGUAUUUUCAUCAAAGGAAUAAGGAUCCAAAUAACAUUUUUGUUCUUAUAUGCUACCAAAUCUAUGGGACAACAUGCAUUAAAUUUUAGUGAGUUGCAAUGUAUAUUUGGCAUUACUUAUUUGGAGCAAAAAGUACUUUUUUGAAAACAUUUCUUCCGCCUGCAUGUUUGGUAAAUUAAAAAAAGAAUCUGAUUUUCAAUUACAUCCAAUGAAUAAUUUGCUAUGUUGAAUUUUGAUGGUUGAAUUGCAUUCAACAUAAGUCAAUUGCAGGUUUGAGUAUGAAAUAUGGUUUUAAUGGUGUUGGUUGGUGAUUGUGGUUGAGGUGAAGAAGCUGCUCUCUCUAGACUCCAGCUUGUGUUAGAGGAAGGUGCUAAUUGGCAAUUAACAAUGAAUUUUUGUGACUUUAUUGUAACUUAUUCUUAGAAUCAAUCAAAUUAUAUGCUUUACAUAUAAGAAAAUUCGAUGAAGAUAAAGUAUCGAUGGUCCAAUUAAAAUGAAGAUAAAGUAUACUACUAUUUUUUAAAUUUUAAAAAAAUUAUUAUCAUGAUUUAUUUUGCAGACAUUAGAGCUCAACCCGUUCAAACUGGUUAAAUCAAAUCAAUUCGAGCGGGUUGAUUAAUUUUAUGCUAAUAUAGUGUAAACUUGGACUAAUAUGAAGUAAAUUGCAAUUAGUUUGGUUUAAUAAAACUUUUUAUGUGCUUUUAGUAAAAACAGUUCCCCCAUAACUAAUCUAAACAGACCAAAUGACUACAAUUGAAAGUAUUCCUUAAAUCAAGUCAUACAAUAUAAAUUAUGAGAAGUUGCAUCAUUUUGUUCUUUUGAGAAAUAAAAUUCAUUGGCACAUUAGCUCAAAAGGAGUAAUUUUGAUAAGGAAUUUAUAUUUUUUCACAUUUUUACCCGUAGUCGUCACACCAGUUACCGUUAUGUUGCUAAUUAAUUUUGACUGCGAAAUGCAGGCCCAAUGCGCAUUUUAGCAAGCAGAGGAGAGGACAAUUAACAAAAGAUAGUAGAGCCCAGAAAGACAGUGAGUUGUUCAUCAGCCGCACUUUGAUAUAUCCGCCUGCUCCUACUACCUCUUAAUUCCUCAACGGACAAUUCGAGGCUGCCUCCUCGUCUCUCUUUCUUCAUCCCCCCAUAAUUAUAACAACAAACUUCCCUCUCUCUCUCUCUCUCAUUUCCUUUCAUUUGAUUUCUCUCUCUUCAGAUCUCUGUCUCCUCUUUCUCACAUUCCCAAAAUGCAGGCCUCGCUCUCUCUCCCUACCCUCUCUCCCACCAUUCCCAGAUCAAACUACGUCGUUCAAUCAAAGCCUAUCAAUCUCCGCUUCUGCGGCCUCAGAAGGGAGGCCUUCGGCUUCUCGUCUCUCAGCCACUCCGAUUCGCACCGAGUACGAGUCUCUGCUCCUUUGCGCUCUGCAACCGUCUCGGUCUCGGCCUCGUCAUCCGCUAAUGGAAGCCCUCCCAAGUCGUUCGACUACGACUUGCUUAUCAUUGGCGCCGGCGUCGGUGGCCAUGGUGCUGCUCUCCACGCCGUCGAGAAGGUACGGAAACACCCUUCUUUAUAAUUUACUGAGAAAUUGCGGCUCUGAGCUUUGGAUUUAGCUCAAUUGUCACUUUAUUGGUUGCUCAUCUAGCUUAACUUCUGUUCUAGUAGCUUCGAUCGUCUUUGCUUUUUGCUUAAAUAGACUGUACUAGCUAGCUAGAAAUGGCUGAUUUCUUUCUGUCUUCUGCUGCGGUAAGUUGUUCACUCGAUCAAAGGUACUGAAAAUGUGCAUGGCGUAAGUGUAUCUGUGCAUAUCUGAUAUCAUGGCAAGAAAUGCAUUAGCUACAAGCUUACAAUCCAUUUUAGUUUGAUACUUCAAAAUUAAUACAUAAGACUUAGAUAUCUAUGUGCAUGUGUGUUGGUAUGUAAGUAAAUACUGAAUUUAUAUAACAAACCUAGCAACUAUCAUGGUUGCCCUCACACAGUAACAGACAAUACUGGAGUUAGAAUAUAAAUUGAAAAAUAACUACCAACAUAAGACGUGGUGAGUUGUUUUUGUUAAAAUAUAUGUAUAUAUAUAUAUAUAUAGUACAUAUUCUCCUGUGUGGGGUUUUUGGAAAAGAAAGGCUCUUGAGUUGGUAUUUAUUGAUUUUUCUUUUCUUAACACAACAAUUGCAGGGUCUGAAAACUGCCAUCGUAGAAGGAGAUGUGGUGGGUGGAACAUGUGUUAACAGAGGAUGCGUUCCGUCUAAAGCUCUUUUGGCAGUGAGUGGUCGGAUGCGUGAGCUUCAGAAUGAACAUCACCUUAAGGCUUUAGGUUUGCAGGUAAAACAUGAUUCAGUGAUAUCAAUUGUAUGUACAUUUAUAUGUAUGUGCAGAGACAAGAUUUUAUUGGUUAGUUGUGAAAACUUAUGUAUCUUACAGUACUGCUUUAUUGUGACUUAUGAUAGGUUUCAGCAGCUGGGUAUGACAGACAGGGAGUAGCUGAUCAUGCGAAUAAUCUUGCAACAAAAAUUCGUAAUAGUUUGACCAAUUCAAUGAAUUCUCUUGGAGUGGAUAUACUGACAGGUGUUGGUACAAUUCUGGUAAGUCAUGCAUUCUUUCAAAUUGAUUUGGUAUCAACACAAUCAAAUGUUCGCUUGCCCAGUUAAGAAAUAAAGUUUGCUUUGUUACAAUGCUGAGCUUGUUAGGGCAUGGCUAUGAUUAAGUUUGAGAUCUCAUACAGCGCAAGUGCUGGCAAGUUUUCCUAACUUUGGUACUCUUAAUACGAAACUAUUCAGGGCCCGCAAAAGGUGCAAAUUGGAUCUUCUGACAAAGUAGUAACUGCAAAAAAUAUAAUCAUCGCCACUGGUUCUGUUCCUUUUGUUCCUAAGGGUGUUGAAGUCGAUGGUAAAAUUUAUAUGUUUCCUCCUUGUUGUUAUUGAAUAGUUGAUGAAAGCAUUUUGGUCUUAGUACCAUGCUUAAGGGAUACCUAGUGGUGACUGACAAUAUGAUGGAUCUGCAGGGAAGACUGUAAUUACAAGCGACCAUGCCCUCAAAUUGGAGUUUGUUCCAGAGUGGAUUGCUAUUGUUGGAAGUGGUUACAUUGGUCUCGAGUUCAGUGAUGUGUAUACUGCACUUGGGAGUGAGGUAGUUCCUUUCUUUUUAUUUAUUUUAUUUUUGUUUUUAUAAAUUACCUUUCAUCUGGUGAAUUUUUACAAUUAUUUUAUGUUAAACUAAUGAGCCUAGUCUUCCAUUUGAGGAAAACGAGUUUCUAUUAAUUGUAGUUUUAAGGCCUUAUAGCAUUAAACUAUGGAGACCUUGUAUGGAUCAAUCAGUAACUUCUCCUUGUGUCUACCAAUGCAAUAAGACACCUUUUUAUUUAUUUUUGGAUGAUCUAGGAGUUCUUAUCUCAUGAGGCAGUCUAGAUUAAUCUUAAGUCUUUUGCAGGUUACUUUUAUUGAAGCUUUAGAUCAGCUUAUGCCUGGUUUUGAUCCAGAGAUUGGGAAGUUAGCUCAGAGGGUUCUAAUAAAUCCACGAAAGAUUGAUUAUCAAACUGGAGUGUUUGCAUCGAAGGUCAGCUGAUGUUUAUUCUCUGAAUUUUAUACCAAGUGUUUUCAGGGUUUCUGUUUCCGUUUUUCAUUCUUUGGUUUUUAAUAGAUCACACCAGCAAAGGAUGGGAAACCAGUCACCAUUGAACUAAUUGAUGCCAAGACCAAGGAACCAAAAGAUACUCUUGAGGUAAUUAAUUGGAUCUGUUUAAACUUAUGUAACGUAUCCAGAGGAUAUAUUUUCCUGCCAUUAAUGGAUUUUGUCAUAUGAAUUUGAUAGCAACAGCCACAUACUUCGCUAGUUGAAUAAUACCUUUGUCAAGGAACAUGUUCUCAUCUGUGGAGCUUUAAUUAGCUAUUUAUAAAUUAACCUGCUGUAAUUUUGUUUCUGAACUCAGGCAUAUGCGUGUUUUAGACUUCCCAAUUGAUUCCUGAGUAGCUUGACUGGUUGCCUUAUAAUUACUGUAGGCAUUGUUAUUCCAGUUCAUAUGCAUAUAGGUUAUUCAGAGGCAUUUAUCUGGACCUUUGUACAUCCUCUUCUAACAGGUAGAUGCAGCAUUAAUUGCAACUGGAAGGGCCCCAUUCACACAAGGUCUUGGAUUGGAGAAUGUAUGACCUCACACUUUAUAUCCAUCUAAUUUUAGAAUGUUAUAUAUAAUUAUUCAGCAAACGAACAGCAAUAGUUUCUGACAUUGCUUUUCUACAGAUUGAUGUAGUAACACAACGUGGUUUUAUUCCUGUUGAUGAGCGCAUGCGAGUAAUAGAUGCAAAUGGCAACUUGGUACGUUGCAAAUUUCCUUACGAGCAUGAACCCUAGCAUUAACAUUAUAAAUUGUUUCUGAUGUGAAUUUUGAACAUCAGGUUCCUCACCUAUUUUGCAUUGGUGAUGCUAAUGGCAAGAUGAUGCUUGCUCAUGCAGCCAGUGCCCAAGGAAUUUCAGGUUAGUGUAACCAACCUGUUUUUAUUUGAACCUCUCUCUCUCUCUCUCUCUCUCUCUCUCUCUCUCUCUCUCACAUGCACAAAUAAGUGAUUAUCUUCAAAACCUUGUUCAGUGGUUGAACAAGUCACGGGAAGAGACCAUGUACUCAAUCAUUUAAGCAUCCCCGCAGCAUGUUUCACUCAUCCCGAAAUCAGUAUGGUCGGAUUGACAGAGGUGAGUAAUUUGCUAAUUGACAUAUUCAUUAUUCAUCAUCUAUGCUUUUAUUUAUCAGUGUUUAACAUAUUCGACCUUGAAUUAGAGAUCUUCUAGGUGUCAUCAUAUUGGCAGUUUAACUAAUCAAUUACAAUUUUCAGCCUCAAGCAAGGGAGAAAGCUGAAAAGGAGGGAUUCGAAGUAAGUAUUGCCAAGACAAGUUUCAAGGCCAACACAAAGGCCCUAGCAGAAAAUGAAGGAGAGGGACUUGCUAAGGUGAAAAAUAUGUACUGAGUACUUGUGUCGUCAAUGAAUUCUCCUUUAUGGUUGCCAUGUACUGUGGAUAUUGACGAUCCUGUUUCUGCUAUGUUUUAAUGCAGUUGAUAUACAGACCAGAUAACGGAGAGAUACUUGGAGUCCAUAUAUUUGGGUUACAUGCUGCAGACCUCAUACAUGAAGCAUCAAAUGCAAUAGCACUGGGGACACGUAUUCAAGUAAAUAAAGCCCGUACACUGCAAAUUAUGAUGCGCCCCUUGUAAUCUACCACUCCCAACUUUCAGUUUACUUAUAUUCUACUGUCUAUUCAACCUUGCAGGAUAUCAAAUUCGCAGUCCAUGCACAUCCAACUUUGUCUGAAGUGCUAGAUGAACUUUUCAAGUCAGCAAAGGUGAGCUGCUGACUUUAACUUCUUACGACAUGCUGUGUGGCUGCACUUCUUCUUCCUGAUAUGUGUUUACCCACAUAUCUUUUUUAAUUGUUGGGGCAGGUUAAAGAGCAUGUUUCUAGCCCAGUAAGUGAACCAGUUGCAGUCUAAGCUUCUCAAUACUCGAGUAUAAAUUUUGAAGAUAUUUGCUUGUAAUAGGGAGUUCAAGGAAGUUUUGUAUCACAAGACAAAAGAGAUCAUCAACACCAGGAGAAAAGAAGCAACUUAAGGGAAUUAAGGACGACUUGGCCCAAAAUAUUUUUCGCCUUUGUAUCUUGGCUUUUAAGUUUUUUUAAUGGCUUCAAGAAAUACUUGCAUUCGUAAUUGUUUUCACAUGGAAGCAUUGUUUUUGUAGUUUUAGACAGUGCUUUUAUAAAUAAUAGAAAGUUUAGUUUUAGACAGCAGCUUUUAUAAAUAAUAGAAAGUUUGCUUUUAAUACGAAACCCUAUUGUAAUUCUCAAUAGUACCAUUUCCUUUUUAAUAUUCAAAUUUAAUAUAUUUAAAAUUAAAAUUAAAAUUUUAUUUUUAUUUAUUUUGUCAAUUAUUUAAAAUUAAAAUUAACAAUCGUUUUCUAAUUUGGGGAAGAAAUGUGACAUUAUAAGUGAAUCUGAUUUAAAUUGAAAGAUACUACUUACUAAAUUCUUCUGAACUCCCAAAAUUCAAACAUCCCUAAUUACAACAAAAAUAGAAGGAAAAAGAGAAGAUGAACCGGAAAAAAAAAAAUUUGUAUUGGGGUAUAGGCUGAGUGAAUCUUUGGGGUACAGGCUCAGCGCAAAGUUAAAUACAAGGUAUGAUUCCUACACCUGUUCUCUCACAACACACCUUACUUCCUGAUCAUCCGAAUAUUAGGUUAUUGACAAAAAGAGAAAAGACCUUAUUGACUAAGAGACAGGUGGAUUGGGUCAUAACCCAGCUAAAGAGCCCAUGAUGGUAUUGCACCCAACAAUCUUGGUCUAGACUAGUACCUAAUUUUAAUUUUUUUCUUCUAAAAUUUUGCUAACCGUACCGAGAUGGGGCUGGAUUGGUUGAACUAUUGUUUUACUUAAAUAGGGCUGGGUCUGUGACGUGUCCUCCACUAGCGCAUUUUGGUUACCUCGAACAUCUCAAGAUGAAACAGAACCCACAGAAUUGUACUCUCUCCCUCCCUCCCUUCUCCGGUUGGGAAAAGAUCUCGUCUGAAUUUUAAACUCCAAGCAUGAAACAUGGCUAUAUAUAAUACUAAUAGCACCGUCGGUUUUGUGAAAAUCAUAUUAUGAGCAUGAUGACUCAUUAGAAUGAGAUUGACAUACAAUCUGAGCACCUGCUGCCUCAUUGAAAUGAGAUUACCAUGAAAUCAUUCUAUGGUUUGAUUGACAAAAAAUAUCAACAGGAUAAAAGACAUUAUUUGAUACAAAAUUUAAUCCAGUAAAUCCAUCAAUGCUAGCAAUACUAGAGAGUAUUGCAAAAAUUGAACUCAACGAAACCCCAUGAACAACAAUCUUCACAAAAACCCAUAUGUAUGAUCCUAGCAACCUUAACAAAAAUUUAUGCUUACCUAAAAUGCUCGUGAAAUAUCAGAGAAGCUAGCAUGAGCACGGACAGCCUAAACAAUAUCAUCAACCACAUAACUAUACAAGCAAACUAACUUUGUGCUGAUAAUAUAGGAAAACUCAUCUAUUGCAAUCAAAUAAAAAUAUUAAGAAACCAUAAAGAGCAAUAGAUUAAGUCAAAUAUUUAUUGUAGUUACCCCUCACCCGAGGUACUGCGUUCAAGUUCUUCAUCCUCCAAGAUCGCUUGUAUAAAAUAUAUAAAAAACCACUAAAAGUCUUUACAUUCUCCUUUUUUAACACAUGCUCACAUCAUUGUCACAGACACAACAUCCGAUUUUGAUCAACUAGAUAAUACUAUGUUAGGUAUUUUAUCGUAGUUACAUCGAUUUUUUCAUAUAUAUUUUUUUGGCAAAUUUAUUGAGAUGAUAUUUAUAAUCACUCAAAUGUUGAAUUUGGUCAACUUCUUGUUAAGAUUAUAAAAAUUUCGACAAUAUCUCGGAGAAGGUAUUUAAAUUUUUCCAAUUUUUGGCGUAUGUAUAAGGUCAUCAACAAGGGUCUAAAAAUUCCAACAUUUUAACAUAAGCUGAAGGUUGUUCUGUGGCAUAUAUGACAUCCUUUUUCGCGCAUCUAUCAUAUCAGUAACGGUCUACAAAUAAGGAUACUGACUUAUGAUUAAUUAUUAUGUUAUCAAGAAUUGAGUGAUGCAUUUGUAUAAGGUCAAGACUCAACUAACGGUAUGUUAACACAAACUAGUAGCAUUGUUCUAGUUGGGUAAGAUUUCGUGUUAAUGCUAUGCUUUAGCUGACGUUAGUUACUUUGCAUGUAAAUGUUUGAGUUGAAAAUUAGUAAUUUGUGGUAGGAAAGAGCAAAGUGGACAGUGCGGGGUAAAAUUUUGUUUUGUUGUCUAAGGUCGAUGGUGCAUCUGGUAAUAGGUCUUUUCUCCUCUUUCUUUUGUAAGGAUGGAUGGUGUAAUGAGAACAUUUAAACUUUGGUAAGUUACAAAAAUAUAAACUCCCUAAAAUAUAAUUACAUAUUACAAAUUAUUCUACAAUUGAAAGGAAAAGAUUUUUGGAGAAUACCUAAUUUUAAUUCUUUCGGUGCGCUGCCUUCCUCGUCAUAGAGAAUUACCAUUUUAGUUACCUCCAACAUCUCAAGAUGAAACAGGCCCAACUGGAGACACUAGUGGGAUCACUCUUGAGAGAGAGAGACUAGUGGCAUCCACUCGAGGGACAUUUGAAACUAGAACAAAGGGAAAAGCUCUGUUGUUCUGCUGUUAAACAACAGAUUUUAAUAUGGAGGGUCGUCCUUCAGAAUUUUGAACUCGGCAUGAAAAGCUAUGUAUAACACCAUGUUCAGAAUUUUGAACUCGGCAUGAAAAGCUAUGUAUAACACCAUGAUGAAAGGAAUAGCCGUUCAUCACAAAAGAGAUAUAGACACAAAAAAUACGGUUUAAAAAAAAAAUCAUCUCAGGAGCAUGAUGACUCACUAGAAUGAGAUUGGCAUGCAGUCUGAGCUCCUGCUGCCCAAUUGAAAUGAGAUAGGCGUGCAAUCUAAGCUCCUGCUGCCUCGUUGCAAUGAGAGUGGCAUGAAAUCAAGAACAUUAUGAAUGGGGGUGAUACAAACUACAUUCCUCAGAUAUUUGAUCAAACUCUUUGGUUGCAUUCAUUUCAAUCCAUUCAAGUCUAACAACCAAAACUACCAUAAGCAUCCAUGAUGAUUAUUCUAACCCGAAAAUCAACCCCAUAAACAAAAACAAACAAAAAACAAUUCAUCAUAUCUUAACCGCAACUACAAUCUCAGUUUAUAUCUUAGUAAGUCUGCAGAAAAACGUAUCUACAACAGUCCAAAGAAUCCAAUUGGACUAAGGAAACUAGCAAGGCUACAAAUUAAAGUUGUGAACCCAAAUUUUAAUCUGGAAAACAAAUCAAUGCAUACUAGACAAUAUCCCAAAAAUUAAACUCAACGAAACCCCGGAUGAACAACAAUCUUCACAAAAACCCAGAUAAGUGAUCCUAACAUCAUUCAUAAACAUUUCGGCUUACCUAAUAUGCUAGUAGGAUGAGCAUAGACAACCUAAAACAUAUAUCAACCACAUAACUAUAUAAGCAACAGCAGGAAAUUGAAAGAAAGAAAUAUAGGAAAACUCUUCCAUUCCAAUGAAAGAAAGAAACCAUAAAGAGCAAUAGAAUUAAGUCAAAAACUUAUAUCCAUAACAAAAGUAGCAUUUCAGGACUGCUGCUCGUACAUGUAAAUUGAAAUGAAAUCCACUAAAGUAACAUCAAACUACUAUGUUACUAAUGACAAAUUAAGCAUAAAAUGACAUCAAAACCAAAAUAACCCUAAUCAGGGAAAACCCCAAAAAGAGCCAUGAUUUGAGGUCCACUCCCACUCUAUUCUUCCUCGGUGGCUGAUUCGUUCUUGGUGUUGUUGUGCUUCCUGGCGUACCUUUGGUUCCGCAGGAACUUGGGGUCCAUCUAAACCCAAAAUCCAAUUGUUAGGGAAAUAAAAACCCCAAAUACAAAGCAAAAUCAAAAUCAAAAUCAAAAUCAAAAUUAAUUAAGGGAUGGAAGUUGAAAUCAGUACCCCUUUGGUUGAAGUGUGGCGGUGCCUCUGAGGCUUCUUGAUGCCGUUCCUGUGAGCCUUGCGGGACUGGUUGUGAGCGGUGUGGUUCUUCGACUUGGCCAUCUCUGCAAUCACAAACCCAAAUACAAACACAAGUAAUUAGUAGCAGAAAUGGAGCUGAGAAUCAGGAUAGAGAGAUUGAAGUAAGAGCUUUUCUAGUUCAGAGAAGGAGAGACGGCACGAACCAGAAAGAGAACGAGGGAUCUAUCAGAGACGUCGAUUGGGUGUUAGGGUUCUCUUUGAAGCAGCAAAAUGAGAAGUUGGGCUUUAUAUGUGAGCUACUGGAAAAACCCUAGCUUCUGGCUCUUGUAUUUUUAUAAUGACGAAAGUACCCUUCCAUUGCCGAUUGGAAAAAAAGUUCGGCUUGUGAUUGGUUGGGCUGCUCGCUUAAGAGCCCAAUCGUGAUAAGAUUGGGCUUUGUUGGUAUCAUCGAAAACCCAAUUCCUCUUACCUUCUUUUUUUUGAGGUACUAUUUUUCUUUCCCUUGUGACUUGCAGAUUUUACACAAGGUCUUGCUAAAAUCUAAAAAAAAAUUGGAGAAGUUGUGGAGAGAAAUUAAAGAAUUAUGAAUAAAAUCAAAUUGAGAAAAAAAAAAAAGGAUUGUUAACAAUUAUUAAUCAAAUCAAGUUGUGUAGUGUUUUGUUUGAUUAAAGGAUUAUAUAAUAUAUAAAGUUAUGGCGUCUAUUCACUCAAGCCCAGAAACCACAUGUAAUCUACAUAGGGUUUUAUUUAUUUAUUUAUUUAUUUAUUUUUUUUGGGGGUGGUUUUGGGUUGGUAUUUCAGUCGACUAAUGAAAGGUAGAUGCAUUUUAAAAAACAAAAAAAAACAAAACGAUAAUAUAAACUACAGAAAAAGGUAGACAUACGUUUAGAUUAGAUUAAAGUAGUGGAUGUGCUCUCCACUAUGCACUCAAGUUUGAAUCUCAUCCCCGUAAUUUAGAUUAGAUUAAAGUAAAAAAAUUUUAUAAAAAAAUUAUAAAUAAGAGAUAUUUCUCACAAACGCUAUCAAAGUAUCAUCAUUUCCUUUCUAUAUUGCUAAAAAGGGAUGUAUUUCAUCUUAUUUUGUAAAGAGGAAAAGUAAAUUAAUGGUCCAAAGUCAAAACGACAGAGAGGCAAAUGCAAUUACAAAACAACAAGGCAAGCCAAUCAGAUUUAGGUAAGCACAUAAAAUUUAUUUUCCAAAUUACAUAAUAUUUCCCAUACAUAUUUAAUCAGAGUUAGGUGAGUAUUUAUAUCAACCUCAAUAUGGUGAAAAUUAAUCUCACAUAAUUCAUCAAAAUCACCACCAUCACUUGCUUGCAGAGCCCAGAAAUCCACCGGCUCCAGUUGUAACGCUGAACUGGCACACAAACGACAACACUUUACAGCCAUUUAAAUAAAAUUUCUUUAUUUCGUCAUUAUUUCAUUAGUCUGUUUCGAUCUCUGCGCUUGAUUUGUUGUGGGUAUUUAGUAUUUCUCUCGCCAACCCACCGAUCUGGUCCUUGAGAAGAAGCCAUGUUCCUGGUCGACUGGUUCUAUGGCGUCCUUGCCUCUCUGGGCCUGUGGCAGAAGGAGGCCAAGAUUCUGUUUUUGGGCCUCGACAACGCCGGCAAGACCACGCUCCUCCACAUGUUGAAGGAUGAGGUUUCUCUCUUUCUCUUUUUGCAUUAUCAUGGCUUAUUUUUGUUGGGUUUUUCUUGAUUUUGAUAAAUAUGUAUGUAUGUGGUGAUGGGUUGUUGCAGAGACUAGUGCAGCAUCAGCCGACCCAGCACCCAACUUCGGAGGAAUUGAGCAUUGGGAAGAUUAAAUUCAAGGCUUUUGAUUUGGGUGGCCACCAGAUCGCUCGCAGAGUCUGGAAGGAUUACUAUGCUAAGGUGUUUAGACUCACACCCAGUAUUAGAUUUGUAAUACUAAGUUGUUCUAAGAUUUGAUUGAUUAUAGUUUUCAGCUGAAACAUGAUCUGCACAUUGCUUGCUAUGAAUUUCGUGCUUGCACUAUAAGGAUGGCUGCUACCAAUACGUGAAUCAUAAUCUCUUGUUUUACUUGAGUGGUAAAUUAUGUUUCUGGGUUAAAAAUCUCAUACAAUGGUACAGUUUAUCAGAUUUGGGAAGGAUUCCUACGCAGUACAGAUUGUUUCUAACUUUCAUUUAUUUAUAUAUUUCGAUGUCUUUCUUUGUUUUCAAAUUUUUUUGGAUGAUUGUAGCUUUUGUUGCUUGUCUACAUCAUGUUUUAAUGCAACUAUUGGGUUUAUCUCAGUAGAUGGGAAAGCUGAAAGUAGGAUGGCUGCUACCAAUACGUGAAUCAUAAUCUCUUGUUUUACUUGAGUGGUAAAUUAUGUUUCUGGGUUAAAAAUCUCAUACAAUGGUACAGUUUAUCAGAUUUGGGAAGGAUUCCUACGCAGUACAGAUUGUUUCUAACUUUCAUUUAUUUAUAUAUUUCGAUGUCUUUCUUUGUUUUCAAAUUUUUUUGGAUGAUUGUAGCUUUUGUUGCUUGUCUACAUCAUGUUUUAAUGCAACUAUUGGGUUUAUCUCAGUAGAUGGGAAAGCUGAAAGUAGGCUGAUUUGUUUGCUAUUGCUGGUUCGCAUGUUUUGCCUUCAUAAUCCCAGCUAAAAUUCCCUUUUGGUUAUCCGAUUCAUGGGAGGCAAACAUUUACAAUGGAGAUUUUGCUGAGAGCACCUUUUUUUUUUUUUUCCAGUCUUUCUGGAGGUGUUUUACUUGUGUCUUUCCAUACAUGGUGUCCUAUGAAAGCUAUCAUGAUUCAUGACUGUGGUUUGGGCUAGAGUUGAUGACCUAUUCUUCCAUUAAGAAAACCUGGGUCUCAACGUUUUAUUCUGUGGAUUAACUUGACACUAAUUAUUUCGUAGUUUUAGAAAACAACAUAGAGUAUGGUUCAACACCCUAAACCAUGCUUUUCUGUUUUUCUUUUCCUGUUUAUUGCUGACGUAUGGGAAAAUGUUUUAAGUCAAUUUUAUAUGUUUGAGACCUUUAAUUCGCAAAAAGUGUAACUUAUUCUUGCCAUUCUGUCCUAGCUUUUCAAAAAUCACAGCAUCAACUUACAUGUAUUCACGCACAUGCUUCCUAGUUCUUUUUCCCUUUCUAAUAAAUAACUUUGUAGACCUACUCCAUAUUUCCUAGUGGAGAAGUCAGAAGAGUGAAAAAGAGAAGACAACCGUAAGAGACUUAUGAAAAGUGGAAAGUGGGUUUAUGACUUAUGAGCUAUUCCAGACAUUUGAAGAUUUAGUUGAGGUUGCUUCUCUUCACAGGGGUGCCAAUUUGUGUGGUGAUUAUAGUUUGAAUUAGACUUGAGGACCUCCCAAAGUAAAUGCUUAGUAUUUACCUUCAUGCAUUCAGUUUGGUUUCCCUUACACAUGACAAGUACAGUCUUUAUAUCAUCUCUGCCCUCUCACGGUUUUCAUGAUUGCAUAUGAAAUUCUUUUUUUUUUCCUGCACCAAGCUCUACUUUAUCAAAUAUAUAAAGUGCUAUAAUUCCUUUACUGCUCGAGUUUGUGAUUCCUUCAUUCCUGUUAGUGAAUUUGAGUUAUCUAGGAUUGUGCCAAAGUAAAUAAAUGCUGCAAGUUUUUAAUUCAACUUUUUUUCUUCUCUGUUGUGAACAGGUGGAUGCAGUGGUUUACCUGGUUGAUGCAUACGACAAGGAUCGUUUUGCAGAAUCAAAGAAGGAGCUGGAUGCACUCCUUUCAGAUGAGAGCCUGGCAACUGUUCCAUUUCUUGUGCUGGGCAACAAGAUUGACAUACCCUAUGCUGCUUCAGAAGAGGAGCUGCGAUAUCAUCUAGGACUGACUAACUUCACUACUGGGAAGGGAAAAGUGAAUCUUACGGACACCACUGUCCGCCCCCUAGAGGUUUUCAUGUGCAGUAUCGUCCGCAAGAUGGGGUACGGGGAUGGCUUCAAGUGGGUCUCCCAAUAUAUCAAAUAGAGAGUAGAGUAGGGGGAUCCUUUUUGGCGUAGUAUUUGUGUGGUACUUUUUUCCUGCGAAUUUGUAGUAUCUGACCACAAUUAUAAUGGAAGAGGAUUUUCUUAUUUGAUUUUUAUCAGAUUGAAGGAUUAAACACUAUCAUCAUAAUAUAUCAAUUUGUUGCAAUGUUCGAUUUUAAAUAUGUGCUUCUUGAACCAGAUUCAGUGUGAUUCUUUUCUGAUAAACUAUUUACUAUUUUUAAGCAUUGUUUUUGGUUGAGUAGUUUCCUAUUCCUUUUUUCUUUUGAAUUUCUUAAUUGUUUGAACUAUGUUUCCCUUCUAGUGAUGUGUUGUACUCUACACUUUUGCAGCACUGAUAAUUUCUCUGGUUGUGCUGGUUUUGGCAUGUUCUUUCUAAUGAGCAAAACACCAGCAACCCCCCCACCCUCUUCCUAGCAGCCUCGACACCAAACCCCUCCCAACACACCCGCAGGAGUCAACCACCCACUUCUCCAGCACACACAACACCAUCGAUGUCUCUUUGUGUAUGUCUCUCUGGAACUGACUCUGAAAAGAAUACCCUGAAACUUUUAUUUCCUAACAAAUCUGUAAGAUUUAACACGAAGAGCUGUUGAGUUGGGGGAACGCGAGGUUGUGUGUUGUAUGGGUUCUCUCAAAUCUCGUAGAAGCAAAGGUAAUUAAAAAGAAACUCUUAAGCCAGUAGGAUAUAACUUUGUUGGUUGAGCCCUUUCACACUUUCACAUUCAUCUCUGUAAUGGAAGAAGAGGUUCGAAUAUCCAAUGAAUAUUUUGUGUAAAUCCUAAACACAAAAAUUUUGUCAUUAUAAAAAAGUGACUGACAAACACAACUUUAAAAUUUUAGGGAAAUAAAAAAGUGAUGAUCUGGCACUGGCGUUGUACUAGAUAAUCACCCUCAGCUCAGCAUGCCCUGAGAUGACUCCACGCAUGCAUUUUUGUCGAGGCUCCUUCCCUCCACUGACUCUACCAGUUUCCAACUCGAUGGCUUUGACACAAAACACAACGCAAUGACGCGUACCACCCAAUCACAUCGCUCCACGUAGGGUCCGCACUCCCCAAACCGGCAUUUUACGGUCACCAUACGUAUCCACCGGCUCCACGUCAUCACCCUUCUCUCACCAAACCUCUCCGCUUACCCACCAAAGCAGUCAACACUGUCCAGCUUACGCACUCUUUGACCGUCCAUAAAAAUAUAUAAUUUCCCGGAAAAUCUUUCAAAAUACCAACCAAAACAGAAAAUUAGGAUAUUCCGUCACUUUUCCCUCACCUUCUUCUUUCAGAAUCUGAGUUAAAUUUUGUUUUCAGUGGAAUUUGAAAAUCUCUGUGCUUUGAAUUUCUCUUCGGAUAUGUUUCUGGUGGAUUGGUUCUAUGGGGUUCUGGCGUCGCUAGGGCUAUGGCAGAAAGAGGCGAAGAUCUUGUUCUUAGGGCUUGAUAAUGCCGGAAAGACCACCUUGCUUCACAUGCUCAAAGAUGAGGUGCCGGGUCUCUCUCGUUCUCUGUCUUUAUUUGAAUUUCUUAUUUGGGACGAUUGCUGUUUCGUUUUGGGUUGAACAAGUUAGGGUUUUUUUGGUUGCAGAGAUUAGUUCAACACCAACCGACCCAGUAUCCGACCUCGGAGGAACUGAGUAUAGGGCAGAUUAAGUUCAAGGCCUUUGAUUUGGGUGGCCAUCAGAUCGCUCGCAGAGUCUGGAAGGACUAUUACGCCAAGGUUUAGAUUUUACCCAAAAUACCAAUUCAAGUUCUUUGAUUUUUGAUAUGGUAAUUUAGGGUUUGAUUUGAUUCGUUCUUAGAAAUUGUGGUUGCAUGUUAUAGAUGUUGGAUAAAAAAUGAAAAGUUUAGCAUAUACAUGCGUGUGUAUGGUAUGUUUGUGUAUGUAUAUAUGCAAUGGAAUAGAACCCUGUUGGAAUAAAGAAAUAAUGGAACCCUUGGUAGUGACUAAAUGAAUUUUUAAGCCAUCCCUUGUUUUUGUAGUCACUCACAUCCAUGGGUAAGUCACAUGCAGUGGAUUUCAUGUUAUUUUAUUCCUAUUCCUAGUCCUUGAACUUGAAGUUAUAGGUGCAGGGUUGCAGUCAAGAGUUUGGUUGGUUGUGAUUACUAUAAGCCAAUUGAUGGUUUUUGUCAAAUUAAUUUUGGGUUCUAAUGGGUGAUUUUCUCAGAAUGGGGCUUAGCCCAUGAUUUGUCUUUAUGUGAUGAGCAUAUAUUCAUACAUGAUGUGCUACCUAUUUGAUUGUUUAGGUGGAUGCUGUAGUCUACCUGGUUGAUGCUUAUGACAAGGAGAGAUUUGCAGAGUCAAAGAAGGAGCUCGAUGCUCUUCUCUCCGACGAGUCACUUGCAAAUGUCCCAUUUCUCAUAUUGGGAAACAAGAUUGACAUACCUUAUGCUGCCUCAGAGGACGAGCUGCGUCACCAUAUGGGCCUGACAAACUUCACCACAGGUAAAGGGAAGGUGAAUCUGGCCGAUUCCAAUGUUCGCCCCCUUGAGGUGUUCAUGUGCAGCAUUGUCCGUAAGAUGGGAUACGGCGAAGGCUUCAAGUGGCUCUCUCAAUACAUCAAUUAGGCGGAACAAUGGAGAAGCAGCUGUGCCACAGGAGAUGGUAGUUUUGCUGCCGCUUUUGGACUCUCCAUUAGAUUUGAUGUUGUCUAUUUCAAAGCAUAGAUGCUUAUGUAAAGUGGAUGUGUUAUCUUUAGAUGCAUAGCAGGUUUUUGCUCUUCAAUUUUAGCUUCGAAACCCAGUGUGCAUUUUCUUACUAUUUCUUCUAUAAUGUUUUUUUAUGUUCAGGAUAGGUUAGUUGUGUUAGUUUUCUUACCAUGUAUUGGUAAUUAGAUUGCAGAACCAAUGAAUAUUUACAGAAUGCCUACUCUGCCUUCAUGCUUCCUGUUUUUCUACCUUGCCAAGUAGCACUGGUGACCACUCUCACAAGUGACAAGCUACCAUUCAAUAAGUAGGGUCUCCCACUUUCCACCGUUCAGUGUUUAUCUAUGACCUGCAAGUGAUCAAAUGUGGACCUAACCACCAAGGCUACAACUUCAACUACCAAAAGGUAGUGCUAAGGUUCUUCAUUGAUUAGAACAUUGACCAAAUAGUAUGGUGGGGAAACAGAUUACACACACAGAUAUGAACAAGAUGUGGUACUUCCACAAGAACACUAAAAACCAAUAAGCACAUUACGACUGACCCAUUAUGAUACGGUCACUGAAACUAGAACCCUCCUCCCAACAAUCCUAAAACGGUCUGAAAAGGUCAAAAUCGCAAAACUAUUUGUUCUAGGCAUUUACAAGUUAUACAGGCUACACAACUACAGAGAGCUCCACCCCGAGUUUUUCAUUUGCCUGUCUAGACCUCAGGAAUUUCUUCAACUAUCCAUGUUAGAGUCAGGAUCCAGAAGCUCUUCGAAUUCCAGCUGCAGAAGAUAAAGAUUUGAUUGGUUAAUGUAUCGGCAGAAUUGUACUGUAACAUUGAUGGAAGAAUUCUAACCAGAUCACUCACCUUUGCUUCAAUGUGGGUCAACUUCAUCCGACUAUAUUCUUCUUGUGCUUUCUUUGAGCGGAACAUGGCCUGAACCCGUACAACAGAUCUCUCAAUGCGCUCUUCAGCUUGUUUCCGGCUGGCCCGGUAGAAGUCUUCUUCUGUAUCACUUUCCUGCUUCUGAUCUACAUCAACUUCAACUGGGGCCACAUUAAGCCCACGAAGCCCUCUUCUUUUCAAACGCCACCGCAAAACAGCUUUCUCAAGCACUCCAACUGACCAAAGAACUUUACGGUACUGCCUCCGCACUUGGAAUCCCCGAAAAGCAGCCUGCAUAAAAUGAAAAUGCAAUCAACCAAUUUUUCCUGGACACUCAAGAGUUAAUCCACCACUGUUACUGCAUGUAUUAAUCACCAAAUUUUAAAAUACAUAUAAUUCAUUAACAAUCACAAUGAUAUCAUGCACCAAGAAUUCACGACCAAACAAAAAUCAUACACCAAGAAUUAGAAUGGAGCGCCUUUGGGGUGGGUGGGAAUCCAGUAGUACGUUCUAGUCAUGGCUAAUAAACCAAGUUACCUAAUACAAAUGAAGGUUGCUAUUUGACCAAUCAAAUGUAAAACUGAUUGACCCUAUGUGAAUUGACUCAAAAAUGUCCUAUUUAAAUUUGAUUUUCCAAAAGGAUUUGUUUAUGUCACUCUGUGGUUCAUACUAGCCGUAUUCACUUGUCAACUAUGCCAGAAAGAAGGGAAGAGGCUUUACUUGAAUUUUGAUAGCUUGACGGCGCAAACUAAGGAAUUCUUGGCGCAUCUUCCAGGUACGAAACCUAUAUUGAAUGCGGGCAGCAGCUUUGAUCUUUUUUCGUGUAUCAUAGUUGCGAAAGGCAUGUUGAAUUUUCAAUGCUGCAAUUAUACCACGUGCUUCAGCCUCUGGAGUGGAAUACUGAACUGCUUUUGCCUUUAAUUUUAGUGAGUUCUCCCUGAAGGCAGCCUGUAUUCGUGCCGCAGCAUCAGCAGCUGUCCGAUAAGCUGCCAAAGUAUCCUUCAGAUGUAUCUCGUCCUCACUGAGGUUCUCAGAGUUCCCUCCAUAGUUUGAGCUAGUUUGAAGGGAACCACUAGCAUUUCCAGCUAUGCUCAUAUCCUUGAAUUGUUCUACCAAAGCCUUCUCUGACAGAUAAGCUGCUAAGCCAUCAUACCCCUUCAUGGCUGCAAGAUCAGCAGCAGUGUAUCCACCAGGGUUUUCUGAACUGGGGUCAGUGACCAAGUUUGGCUUUGCCCCCGCAGAUAAAAGAACUGCAACCAUUUUCUCCCUACACAUGGAGACUUUUAGCAUUAAGAAAAUCUCAGAAGAUAUAAUUCCAAUCUCGUCACAGAAUGCAUUUAAACAAUUUUACUCCACGUAAAUCAAUUUCAGAUGCAUGUAAAACAAACAUUCACAAAAUCAAUACGAGCAAGAAGAUAAAAAUUGUUGACAUAAAGCUCAAGCUAUCCUGCAUGAGCAGAGGAUAUAGAGUUGGAAAAGUUCUACCAUACAAGUAUUAAAAGUUAAACAGAACACAGCAAACCUAAGUAGUGAUGUAGAAGAUAUUUUUGAGAAAAAUACAAUUUAAAAUAAUAAGCGAGCGAUAAAACCAUACCUUCCACAAUAAUUAGAAUGAAAGGUUAUACAUAAAAAAUAUUAAAAAGAAUAUAAUGUCAUACCUUCCACAAUAUGCUGCCCAAUGAAGGGCUGUCCAUCCACGUCUAUCACGAAAGUCUAAUGACAAGCCUGACCACGAAAACAAGCGAACAGCCCAUGUGUAUUCUAGAAUAGCACAUAAAUGGAUUACUCCUUGGCCAUAAGCAUCAUAUUCUUUGGUUGUAGAGCUGUCAACAACUUUCUCCAACAGCCAAUCCUUUAAUCUGUUCUUCAAAAUGAGUUCGAACAGACCAUCCUUUGCCAGUGGUAACGGACUUUUUUUGUCUUCGACUGCCUUCAUCAAACAUGCCCAGCUAUUAGAUAUGUGCGAGGUUCUGUGGGAAAACUUCUUGGCUUCUUUCAGGGCAUUCAGUGAUACUUUAUUAGAUACAAUGUUAAGGCUCUUAGAUGAAGAGAAAAGCAAAUAAGCAAGCCGCAUCUGGGCUUGGAACUCUUCCCAGUUGUUCUCUUCCGAAGAAAUAAUUGGAUCACUCAAAACAGGAGCACGAUAUUCGAAGUUUAGUACUAGGCUGAUGGGUUUAUGGCCAUCAAUACUCAUAAAAAGGUUUACUACUCUGGGUAAAUGUGGUGGUACAAAACAGCGAUACACCCCAGCCUGAACAAUUUCUGCACGAAGACAUACGUCGCCACAAAUACAGAGUAGAUCGGACUUUGCAAGAUGUAAAUACUCUUGGUGAAAGAAGCCAGUGAUUAGAAUCUGCAAAAGGAUUAGCUAGAUGAUGAAAUUUAUGUUGAGCAGUACAACCAGAAUAUUCAGGUUAAUUAAAACAUAUAAAAGAAGGGUCAUUCAAAAUCAGGACAGAUCAACAUUUGUCAUGCCAAGCUAGAGGCCUGAGAAACAGUUAUGAGGGCCACUUUUUUCAGCUUCGAAAAAUGAGAAACAGAAGUUCAUCUUCCACCAAAAGUCAAGAUCCAGUUUCAUGUAUUUGCCUAUUGACUUUAAAAUAUUUCCUUUUUUUUUCUUUACAGAAGGACUAGAACCUACGGUAUAAUCCUUACCCUGCUCACCCAAUCCCAAUGUCACCCGAGCCAAGGCCCAAGGGAUUUAUUUGUUCUUAUUGAUGCACUAAAUAAAAUAUGUAGCCCAUUUGGAUUUAGUUCUAAAAGCACCAUACUUCUGAAUAUUCCUGUACUAAUGAACAUGUACAUUGAUCAGAUUCCAAAUAAUUCAAUUUACCUGCCACAUAAGAAUCAUUUAUUUUGUUAAAAUUUGCUUUGAUAUUUUAAUAUUUCAAUAUGUCACCGUGAUGUUAGGUAUAUCACAUGAUUUGAUAUGCUUGAAUAUUUUUUUUUUCAACUAAUAUGAAAUAACUUAUCAUUGUCAGCACAAUCAAAGGAUGAAUAUCUCUUCUUAAAUACUUAAAUAUGAGUUGUUAAAGAUUUCCUAUUGGAAUUUGAAGAACAAGAUUUCAACUUUAUUCAUGAAGAACAAAAGGUAGCCAUCAACAGUCAACGAAUAACGUAAACAAUAAUAAGGGGUGUAAAGCAAAGAGGAAAACCUUUGUUUUUUCGUUUGAAAAGGCCCAUGCAGGUGACAGAUCAGUUAUAUUAAAUAUUUGGUGAGGAAUAGAAGAUUGAAGAUGAUCAGCUGAAGGAGAAGCAAAUGAAUUUUGAGCAGCUAUAGAUGAGGAUUCAAGUGCUGGGUCUUCCACUGAGCCUGGAGGGUCUGCCAUGACCUGGUUUAUCCACCUUCCAAAACUGUCCUGACUAUGUAAUCCAUCAUUAACCAAAACGUCCAAGGAAUCACAGGUGGUCUUGGCAAUAGAAUCCCUUAUCUGGACAUUUGAAUUCACAUCAUACUCCACUGUCGGAACAUACGGACUGUCUGGAAGAUUGAAUUGAACGUCAUCACUUCUCAAAGUUGGAUUGGUUAAAUUACCAAAAGCAGACAUUUCAGCUGAUAUAACGCUGGCUCCCUGCAAAGACAAACCAUUUAUGCAAAUGAGUUGCAGCAGAACAAUAUGCAAUGACAUACAACACAUGAAAAAUAUAAGAACUAAUAAAAUGCCAAAUGAGUAUAAGAAAGAAUAAAUUGCCAAUGUGGAAGGACUAAAAUAGAUAGAGAGCAUAGAUUUAGAAUUAUGAAUGAUUCUACUUACACCACUUAUGAAGCCAUUUCCUACGACUUGAUUCUGCUGGUCAUAGCAUGAGACUAUGUCUGGCACCCCAAAAGCCCACCACAGAGAGAGAAUAAUGGUUAAUACUUCAUCAUUUUGGGUUCUGCUCUAGCAAUAACUGUUAUCUGGUCACUUACCUCCUUUAGAAUCAUUUGUAAUCAGAAGUUCCUCCCAUUCAAGUGUAUUGAUAUCAUGGAGCCUCUUUUCAUGAUUCUUAACAGUCAAACCAUCACCAGGCUCUGUUGAUCAUAAAAGAACCAAGGGUAAGAACCUUGUAUAUCCGUUUUCACUAAAAAUAGCAAAAGGAAGUAGCAACUUAACUAAACAAGGAAAAAAAAAUUACUAAAACAUCAAGAAGAAUGAAAAAACAAUUCUUAUCAUGAUAAGUAAUUUAUCUUCUAACAUAACUAAGCUCCAAAUUCUGUUGUGGUUUGCUGAAAUGACAGAGACUAUUCCCAAAACAAAUAUAUAUCAUGAUAAUUGGGGUAUCCCUCAAAUAAUGUUAUUUGAGGGACACCCUUUAGGGUCCCCUACAAUUGUUUUUUCAACGAUCCAAACCGUCUAUUUUUCAAAUCUUCAUUCAUAGACCUUCCUUGCAAAAAAAAUCUUGCAAAUUGAAAAUCAUUAAGGCAUCUAAUUGGGACCAAAAUAGAUGAACACGAUGCUUCAAGAAAAGACUAUAAUAACAACCAUCUAAUUGGGUGGUCAAAUGGUUUCGGAUUGAAAUGAUUUUUUGCAAAGAUGAUCUUUGAUGGAAUAUCUAAAAACUAGACGGUUCAGAUUAUUGAAAUACAAUGCAUGGUGGAGCCUACAAGGGUGUCCCUCAAACACGCUUAUUUGGUAGGGCCUACAAGGGUGUUUCUAUAUAUAAUAUAAUUUAUAUAAGUCAUCUUGCAGAAAGUUCAUAUGCAGUCACCUGAAAGUUCAUUUUCACCAGCACAAAAUGUCGUGUUAGCCCCUGAAUCAAGUUCUUCUGAUAAAAGCCAAGGAGCAGAUGGGUCAGAGACAGAACUAGAAUUAUUUGAAUUCACAGGUGUGACUGGAGAACCCUGCAACUGCAUGGUAAGCAAACAACAGCACAAUACUAGGUUAGAAGAUCUAGUUGGUUAUUGAAAAAAUGGCACAAAGAAUUGGUUCCAGAUAUUGCCAAGUUCUACCACUUAUGCGUGAAGGUAUUACCAAGCUCUUUGUUUUAUCAUAAAAAUAAGAAAUCGAAGAGUGCCUCAUGCAAUUUGACAGAAGCCACAGAGUGUACAGUGUAUAAAAUUAGGAUUAAAUGUUUGCAUCACACCUAAUUGCUUUUUGAACAAGUUUAAAAUGAAAAUUGCUGAAAAUUAAGAAAAUAAUAUGCAUUUCAAUAUUCUACGACUGCAAACUCAAUAAUUCAUGCGAUGAAAAGGAGCAUCAACAUUCUGAUUGUGCUUAAUCUCGAAGCACAUUUAAUUAAAAGAGUUAUAGAAAAACCACCUCUUGUGUUUCACGGUAAUGAACAAGGACUAUAUGUUCUAGACUCCUGCAACACGAAUACAACAAAACUUUCAGUAAGACUACUCUUAUGCAACAACACUUUCAGGAGUUGUAUUUUAGGAGAUACAGGUAUAAAACAAUAGGGUCAUCAAUGGAUCCAGAUAAACUGUAAUUAUUACAUACUUAUCAAGCAGCCAAUAACACCUCCGGACAAAGGUUGGGCUAUCUUCGCCAUGUGCAUAGUAUACAUGAAUCCUUUCUUCAUUACCAACCUGCACCAUAAAAAAAAUGACAAAAUUUGAUGAACUGAGUCAACUGAAAAUAAUAAUUCCAUAACAAAAUAAGCUAUAACAAUCAUGGUGAAAGGUGUACAAAGAAUAUGUUGAAACAGACAGCAUCAUUUGGUACAUAUAGGACAAAGACACCUUUUCCUUACACCCUGCCACUUUGUUACUUUUGUCUCUCAAUCAAAACAGUGACCAUUUUAGCAGCAAAUUAAC